AACUUUUGAUUUUAAAAAAUUUGAAGGCCUUGUUUACACCAAUAAAGAGAGAGAUAGAAAAAUUACAAACAAUGAAGACUAAGUUGCAAUACUCACACAAUAAGUCCAAGCAAGAUCAUUCACUAAAAGCUAACUUCACAUUCUCAUAUACCAUUAGAAGCACGAUCUCUCAGUAUUAGAAUAUGAGAAGUCUUGCUUCAAAAUGCUCUGGGCAAGUGGCUAUGGAAGGUACAAUAGAAAUUGCAACAAUAAAAUCUUAAUUCUAAUAUAAUAAUAACUAAACUUUAAUUAGACCAUAACAAUACUAAGCAAGCUUUAAUCAAAUUUAAAGAAACCUCAAAGGAAUUACAAAGAAAUAAUAAAAAAUCUUAAAAAAAUAUAAGAAUGAUGACAAAUAUAUUUCAAAUACAUCUCAAUUCAAUCUUAAUUUAAUCUUAGUUAAAAUCCUAUUUGACUUCAUUCAAACUUUAGGCAAAAAAAUAACUAAAUCUUAAAUCCUAAAAAAAUCCUAAUCAAAUCCUAAACUCUACAUUAAAUCCUAAACAAACCCUAAAUUCUAAUCUUAAAUCAAAUCCUAAGCAAAUCUUAAAUCUUAAAUUAAAUUCUAAUCAAAUCCUAAACCUUAAACCAAACCUUAAUCAAAUCCUAACCAAAUCCUAAAUUCUAAAUCAAAUCUUAAUCCUAAAUCAAAUCCUAACCAAAUCCUAACCAAAUCUUAAAUCCUAAACCAAAUCCUAAUUCUAAAUCAAAUCUUAAUCAAAACCUUAACUAAAUCCUAACCAAAUCCUAAAUCCUAAAUCAAAUCCUAAUCUUAAAUCAAAUCCUAACCAAAUCUUAAAUCCUAAAUCCUAAAUCAAAUCCUAAUUCUAAAUCAAACCCUAGUAAUUCCUACAAAAAAUUUAAACCUCAAUUAUUAAUAAUUGAAUUGUUGAUCUUAACUCAAAAUUUGUACACUUCUUAACAAUUAAGUUGACAACAAGCUCAAAAAAUUUUCAAAGGAUUAGAAUCACUAAAUAGAUGAUAGCCUCAAAAACGUGCUCGAGUAUUAGUUGGCUUCUCUCUCCAACCUUGAUGCCAAUCUGUUAGAGCCAAUAUCUCUUCUUUUGACUAUUUGAUUGAUUUCAAAUUUCUCAUAUAUAUAGAAAAACAAGUCUAAUAUCUUUACGCAUAAAUUUCACUUCAAUCCAAUAAAUAGAUUGUAAGUAAUCUUAAAAACUCUCACUAGACCUAAAAUUCUACUUUUUGAGAUCUUGACCCACUUAAAUCUCAAUAACCCUCAAUUCAACUAUUCAAUCGAGUUAAAAUUCAAAAUACAUAUUAAGUACAAUUAUGACCAUUAAUCUACAAAAUUUCAUCUAUAGACCUAUUAUAAAGCUCUCAAAGUUAUCUAAAACAUCAAUCCUAUUUUAUUUCACAAAAAUCCAAGUCAUCCAAAAUAAACUUAACUUUGUAAAGCCCUUAGAAAGUCAUUACAAAUCCAAAUCAUACAAAACUAAUGCUUAUGGAAACCCAUUUAGUCUGCUAUCAAAUUCCACUCUUCAAUCUACAAAAGAACCUCCGAGUUGCUCUAGGUGCUUAGUUUUGUGCAUCGAGGUCUGAUUUCAACCUAUGUUAAUAACUCACCCUCCUUGGGUAUCGAAUUUUGUCUUUUUGAGUCAAUUUUUGUUAAAAUCAACUCCUAACUUCUUCCUAUAAAUUCUCAUAUCGUUUAUUUUUCUAAUCUAUUUUAUUUUUCUUUAUUUAUGGUCCAACAAAGUAAGUAGAAGUCACUUUUUUAAAAAGGCAACAUUAUUUCUAAAAGUUUUACUACCUUUCUAACUUUUAUCCAUAUUUUUUUCUACUUUAUAUUUUAAUCUGGCUCUUUUAUGAUAAAAUCCAUAUUAUCUUCUUUUACCAUAUAGUCGUGUUACAACACAACACCGGCAAAUGCACCAUUUAUGUGAGUAUAAAUUUUACUCUUCAAUCCCAAUUACAAGAUGGCCUCAAUCAACAGUUGCUUGUAAUUGGUGGUAUGAAGUGAAGUAAGCAAUUAAAAAAAAUUAAGUGGAACAAUCACAAUAUAAGCGAAAGAAAUAAAAUGAAGUAAUCACAACAUUCAAAACUAAGUCGCACUUUGUUCACUAGAUUUUUACCUAAAAGAAAAGUAAAAGUAAAAAAUAAAAAUUAUAUUUUUAAAUAGAUAUGUAUUUUUUUAUCUUUCCUAUGACAUAAAAAUUAUGUAAUUCCAAGUUACUAUGAAUAAGUUAUGAUAGAUUAAAGAUAAAAUAUAAAUAAUAGAAAAAUUAAGUGAAUAAUUUUUACCUCAAGGGUAACUUGCUUAAGAAAUUAAGAGUUCGAGCCUCACCAAGGCUCACAAGUAGUGUGUAUUGGUUGUCCAAAGAGGCCUUGAGGCCUUAGUCUUAUCUUCCUACCUAUACCCAAGGUGCUACAACCCUCAUAGGAAUUGUGCACCUCUCUUCCUAUAAGGACUAUACUAGCUGCUGGUCCUCCUAUUUUCUACUAGUAAAACUACUCUUUUUGCAUUUUUGACUUCACCAUGGUGUUCAUAAACAUCCAAUUGGCCUAAAAAUCUUGUAUAGUCUUCAAAUCUUACUUAAUUUCUUCAUAGUGGCUCUCAAGGUGGUAAAAUUUAAUUUUACCAAGGUCUUGAAAUCUUCUUUAAGAAUUCAUAAAAAAUCCUAAAUAAAUUCUAAAAAAUCCUAUAAUAUUUCUAUAAUACUAAUAUCCAUAUAAGGCUGUAUUUUUAUAUCUUGGUGAUUUUUUAUAGUAAUAAAAUCAAUUUAAAUCCACUAAAAAACUUGUUUUCUACAUACAUAACUUAAAAGACGUGAAGUUCUUUUUCAUGCUUCUUUUAACUAUCAACUAAUCAUUGAUAGGAUUUUUGUAAGUAAUACAUGUAGAUAUGAGGCUAAUAUAGAAAUUGGUCUCAAUUACUAAUCAUUAAUAUUCAAUAAUGAGUGAAAAUACUAAACCAACUAAGAUAAUUGCUUCCAAGACUUACCAAGACUUCAUUUUUGUAACUUUUCUUCUAAUAAGACUUUUAUACUUAUAAAUACUUCUAAAUUCUAAUAAAUAUGUAAAUAGUCAAAAAGACUCUUUAACCUUAGUAUUUAUCUUAUUAAAUGACUCAAUACUAUAUUUUUAACCAAUCCACCUAUUAAGAUCCAUUGGUGGAACUCUUAAAUGACUAUAAUUUAAAUGGAAUAUAUCUGAAAAAGAAAUAAUUAAAAUAUUCAUGAAUAAUAUUUUAAAAAUAAAAAACCAAGCUUUAUUUAUAAUACAAUUAUAUAAGGAUAUUAAAUUUUAAUUAUUAAAUUAUAAUAAAUUUAAUUUUGAGAAAAAUAAGAUCACAAGAAAAAUAAAUAAAUAUACAUAAUUAGACUAAAAAAAUUAUAUUGGCUUACAUGUUGAUCUCUAAAAUUUUAAAUUUUAAAUUAGAUUAAAAUAUUAAUAAUAUAUUUUAUUUAUUUUCUAAUGUCUCAAUUUUUUAUAUUUAAAGAGCAAAGAUAAGAUUUAAGUUGAUAAAAAUAGGAUACUAUUGUACACAUUAAGUUUUUUAGGUAGUUUAAGAAAAAAAUCAAUAAUUAAAAUUUAGAGAUUUAAAAAUAAAAAAAAUAAGACAUUAAAAAAAUUUAAUAAUUUUUUUUAAAAAUGUUUUUUUUUUUUUUUUUUUUUUUUUUUUUUUUUAUCAAUCUAUAAUAUAAAGAUAAAUGAUUCUAAUUGUCAAAAAGAUUGAUAAAGAACUCAUUAAUUAAUAUUGGCCUAUAAUCUUUCUUAAUUUUCUUUGUGAUAUUUUUUUCUAAAUAUUUCAAAUAAAAUAAAUAUUAUUUUAUUAAUCUUAUGUCAAAAAUAUGCAUAUUUAUUCCAAUAAUUUCCUAAAUAAUAUGUAUAGUCAAAAGUAGUUUAAAGUGUAUAAAUUUGAUAAUAUCUUAUAUAAAAGGUUCAUAGAAGUAUUAUAGAAGCAACUAUGUUUUCAUACGUGUCCAUAAGUGCUUUAUUGGUUCAAAACUUUAUCAACAAGUUAGUCAUGUAUCGUAUAUAUUGGCCACUUGUAAUACAAGUUGGACAUGUGGUGCACAUAUAAAGAGCUUGUCUUAGAAGUUGAAUAUAUGUUUGAGGUCUUGUAAAACAUCGCCACAUAGUUCUUAAUUAGAUAGUAUAUGUAGAUUGUUAGCAAAAUCAAUGCACCUUAAUUGUGUUUAGUAGUUUGGUAGAAUAAAUUCACUCACAUAAGGUUAAAUGUCUCUUCUUUCUUAACCAUUUUUUACCUAUGGUUUUUUUCUAUCAAUUAUUUAUUUAUAUAUAUUUUUAAUAUUUUUAAUUUAUCAUUAUUAUUAUUAAUUUAAUUAUUUAAUUAUUUUAUAUUUUUUAAUUUUAUUUAAUUAUUUAUUAUAUAUUAUUUUAAUUAAUUAAUUAAUUAUUUAAACUAUUGAGCAAUUAACUUAUAAACAUUUUUAUAUGCAUCACAUUCUUUAGCAAUGAAAUGAUCAUAUUAAAACAUUGAUUACAACACCACAACCGCUUAUUAUCACAACAAAAAAUUUGCUUGAGAACUCUUCUAAAAUUAUUUUUUAAUAAUCACCAGAAAUCAAAUAUAAUCUUGUAACAACACAACAAAUCAUAGUUGAUCUAUCAUGGUCAUGAAUUCCCAAGCCAUGUCCUGCUUUCAUCAUUACCAUAUAUAACAGGAUAUAGAUAAGAUAUUUGUAUUAUUGAUACAUAGUGAUAGAUAGUUGAAAUCAUUUUGAAAAAUUAUGGAAGUUUUUAGAUUUGAGGUUAAGUUAGUAGAAUAUAUAAGAUCCACCAUAGAACCUUUUAAAAGAAUUUAGGACAAUUAUCCAAGUGGGAUCCAUCAUCUAGGAAUAUAAUAGAAAAUUCAAGGUAGUACAAUAAAGUAUAAAUAAGACUAACCAAGGCCUUUUGGGCAUCUUAUCAAGUAUGGCCUCAGAUCUUUUUUCUUAAUAAAAUUUGAUUUUGCAUCUUCUUGUUCAGUUCUAUUCUAUUCUAUUUUCAUUUACUGAGUUUUAUCUUUUGUGUCUUAUUUUGUUUAGUUGUGUUUAAUUUUGUUCUACUUCAUUUUGUCCUACUUUGAGAUGAGAUUUUAUGUUGUUGUGGAUUAAAAGAGUCUUAGAUUCUUGAGAUAGACCAGUCUUAUUUCAUUGAUAUCAGAACAAAUGUUACAUUGUUCUUUGGUAAUGUAUCAAUAGUCAUCAUCUAUUUCGAGGUCAAUUAUAGUAGUUACACUGGAUACUAUAUUGAGGCUACUUUGAGCUACUCUUAAAAAAUCAAUCAAAGUACAAAAAUACAUAUAAUAAUGGAGUUCAGUAAAGAAUUACAUCAUGGGAGAUAUAGCAGAGCAAUUUUAGAUGGAGGCUCAAAUACAACACCUCUUAGGCUAGGUAGUUACUUUACAAGGAUAAAUAGAAGCCUCUAGGAUAAGGGAGUCAACAUCUGUUAGGAUAAAAUUGAGUAAGCCUAGUACAUACUCUGAGAUUUUAAGGCAAGAAGAUAUAUGUCAAUGACUAAUCAACAUGCAAUAAUAUUUGCAACUAUUUGGGAUAAAUACUAUUGAAGGAAUUAUAUAUGCAGUCAGCAAUUUGAGAGAUGCAAUAGCUAUUUGGUAGCAACAUUGAGUUCAAAGCUAUAGAACUUAGGGUGGAUUUUAUGAUUGGAAGGAGUUUGAAACCAAGUUUAAGACUCAAUUUUGGACCAUCAAUGUACAGAAGAUAACACACAAUCAAUUAACAUGUCUUAUAUAAUCUAGGUUGGUACAAGAUUAUGUCUCCGGAUUUAAAUUCCUAUGUAUCUAAAUUGAUAAUAUUUUAGAGGUGGAGAUGAUGGAUCAAUUUCUAUGAAGUUUGAAACUUGGAAUCUAGUAAGAUAUUGAAGUAAGAGAUCUAUAAAUAUUUGAAGAAAUAAUUAAAAUGGUAGAGAUGGUCAUUGCUAUAAAUUUUAGAAAUUAUGGAGCAUGACCUAUAAUAUAAAGUCUUAUGCUACUAUCUAAUACUAUGGCACAAGAACCAAUACUAAUGGAGAUUAAUACCUUAGAAGAAUCAUUGAUACCACAAAGAUAACAAAUAUUGGUACAAAAAGAAUUAUAUUUCUAUUGUUGAGAGCCAGGCCAUUAGAUUGGAAGUUGUCCAAAACGUCAAAAUUUAAUCACCAACAAAAUAAGGUAGAUUCACAGUCUUGAGACUCACCAAGUUAAUAAUGAAGUAGGAUAGGGAAACAAGCUUCUCUAGUAAAGGUGCCAAAGAUUAGUACUAGGAAUAGCUACUAUCUCUUAGAGAUAAAUGACAUAGUCUUAGACAACUAUAAAAAGAGUCAAUUGAUGCAUUUAAUGGGACUACUAAGAAGACAUCCAUGUCAAGUGCUUAUGGAUUGUGGCUCUACAAAAAAUUACAUCUCAGAUGAAAUUAUUGAUUGAUUUAGGAUUAAAACUAAGGUAAUCAAAGGAGAGAGUAUAUAUCUUACAAAUGAUUGAGAGAAUAUACUGAGUGAGACAUGUGAUUAAAUAACCUUGAGGUUGAUUGAUACUUAUGUCUUAAGAGAGAAGUUCAAGGUAAUAAAUCUAAGAUAUGAUAUUAUCAUUAAUAUGCCAUGGCUAGAGGUAAAAAAUAAACAAGUUGAUUAGGUAGCAAAGACAAUCUCUUUCAAAGAUGGUAGAUGUAUAGUGAUUCUUCAUACCUUUACAUUGAAUGAAGAGAAAAAAUAAUCUGCAACUAAAGACUUACUCGUAGUAAUAAGCUUUAUGAAGAAACAAAUAUAGUAUAUGAAAUCAGUAUGUAUGGUGGUUUCAAAUCUUCUAUUAGUAGUGGGAAAGAUAUCCAAAAGAGUAAAACGAGCAAAUCAAUUCAUACAAGAAUAUCAAGAUGUCUUUCUAAUCGAUCUACAUAAUGACAUGCUUCUUGAUUGACGUGCCUACUUUUAAAUAGAACUAUUAUUUGGAGCCAAAGUAGUAAGUUAGUCAAUUUAUCGCUUAGCACCAAAUGAAUUUAAAGAAAUGUAAAAGAUAUUGGACGAACUUUUGGAGAAGGGCUUCAUUUGAGAAAGUACAUCAACAUAGGAAGCACAUGUAUUCUUUGUUCUUAAGAAAGAUGGUGGAUUUUGGUUAUGCAUCAAUUAUUGAGGGCUCAAUAAGCAAACUCUUAAGAAUGCAUAUCUACUUUUAUGUAUAGAUGUUCUUUUUGAUCAACUUUAAGCUGCAACCAUCUUUAAUAAAAGAUGGAUAAUAUGUAGUAUUAAAAUUAUAAUCUUUGUGAUAGUUUAUUCUAUUUUAAAAAGUAAAUUUAUAUAUUUAAUAAUGCUAUACUUUGGAUGCAUAUACUUCAAAAGAAAUAUGAUAUCCUAAUAUCUCGACAUUUAAGGCAAGAAAAGACUCUAGAACGGAUCUCAAGGACAUGAUUUUGAAUAGAUUUAGAUUGUAAUAUUCAAGCUUUUAUUUACUCAUGCGAGUCACAUCAAUAUAAUAAUACACGCAAUGCAACAUCUCUUGAACUAUUAUAGCCAAUUCUACUACCUAUGGCACAUUGAGAGCAAGUGAUUAUGGAUCUCAUUGUAUAUUUAUCAUAAACACCUCAUAAUCAUAUCUUAGUUGUCGUCUUUGUGAAUUGACUCUUGAAAUAACUUUACUUAGCUGUGGUGUGCUCGACUAUUGAUGUUUUAAUACUUACAUGGAUCUUUUUUGAUAUUGUCUUUGAUCAUUAUAGAUUACAUCAUGUCAUUAUUUCAGAUGGAUAUCCAUACUUCAUAAGAAGUUUUUCGUAAGCCUUGUUCAAGCUACUAGCUACACAACUUGCUAUAUCUACGUCUUUCAUUUCCAAACAGUUGGACAAAUAGAGCAUGUAAAUUGGACCUUGAAAGAUAUACUACAUGUAUUUGUGAUAAUUCAUCAUAAUAAUUAGAAUGAAUAUUUGACACCCUUCGAAUUUACUUACAAUGAUAGUAUUCAAACAAGUACCAAUCAUUCACCAUUUUUUCUUAAUAUUGGUUAGUAUUUGAUUAUGUCACCAAUCCUUCAUUAUCCCAUUGAUACCAAUAAUAUGAGAAUGGAGGAGUUUAUACAACAAUUUACAAUGACCUUACAAGAAACACAAUACCUCUUGUUUAUGGUACAAAAUUGACAAAAUCAAUAUCUGGAUAACAAUCAAUAAUACAAGAUCUUCCAAAAAGGCCAUUAGGUGUUACUUUCUAAUGCCAACUUGCCUCUUGCUACAUCAAUCAAAAUCCAUAAAUUGACACCUCAGUGGCUUGGACUUUUUUGCAUUUCUAUAAUGAUUUUUGAUGUUACAUAUUGCCUCAGCUUCCACCAUAUAUUUCGAUCCAUCUAGUCUUUCAUGUUUUGCAAUUGAAAGAAUUUCAUAUUGAGCCAAAGCACUUUUUAAAUUGACACCAAUUACCACCAAUACUAGUUGUAAUUGAUGACCAACAAGAAUAUGAAGUGAAUAGCAUUUUGGAGCAUCGCUACCUUCACCAUGGUAGUGGACGUUCACAACUUUAGUACAAAGUGCAUGAUUUUGUAUAAAAUAUUCAAUAAGAUUUGGUUAAUCCUCUCUAUUUGUCUAUUAGUCUAAGGAUGAUAAGGCAUGAUCUUCUUAUGAUCAAUUUGAAAUCUAUUUGUCAUGUUCUAAAUAACCUUGUUGAAAAAAUAUAUUCCUUGUUUACUAACUAAGAUUAUUGGGCAACCGAAAUAAGUAAUGAUAUUCUUGAACAAAAAAAUAGUUACAUUCUUUGUAUUGUUUGUCUUAGCCAUCUUCGUCUCCACUCAUUUUGAGAGAUAUUUGGUGGUUAUAAUGAUAUACACCAUUUUUUAUAAAGAAUGAGGGUGUAUCUCUCUUAUGUAAUCAAUGCCUCAUUUUUUUGAAAGAUACUAGCAAUAAGAAAAUAUGGAGCGGCAAUUCCAUACAAAAAUCAUUUUGUAUAUGGUGCUAACAUGCAUCACACUUCUUCACAUAGUUAUGCACAUCUUGGAAGAAAGUAGGCUACUAAUAUCUAAUUCUUAAAACCUUUUGAUAAGUGAAUUGACUCAAGAAAUGGCCACUACAUGCGUUAUUAUAACAUGCUGCCAAAAUUAAAGGAAUUUCCUUGCUUACGACAUAUUUAUGUAAUAUCCCAUCAAUUCCUCUCCUAUCCAACUUAUUUUCUAUCACUAAAAAAUAUCUACUAUUCACCUUAAUCUUUAUUUUUUCCUCUUUGGAUAACUCCAUUGAUAGUUGCUAGUUGGUGAAGAAUUUGAUGAUCCUUAAAUAUCAUGCAGGUUGUAUUGUCACCAAGAAAAGAUUCUCAUCUACUAAGCUAUCAUUAAUGAGUGUUGCUUUGAGGCCCUCUAAUAAGCAAGAUAGAUGGUCUACUUGUUUAUGGAUAAAUUUAGAUUUAAACUCCACUUUAUAAUUAAAUUUUUGAAGCAAUAGCGUCCAUUCAACUAAUCGGCUCCUCAAUUCUCAUUUAUUAACCAAAUCUAUUUGAUUGCUAUGUGAUUCUAAAAAAAUACUACUAUAUUAUUCAAAAGGUAAUGAUGAAUAUUUUUUUAUUAAAAAAAUUAUUAUCAAACUCUCUUGCUUGGUUGUAAAAUAGUUUAUCUUAAUCACAUUAAGCUGAUUGCUUACACAAGCAAUAAAAUAUAUGUAUAUAUAUAUAUAUAUAUAUAUAUAUAUAUAUAUAUAUAUUUUUCUUCUAUUUAAAAUAUUGAUACAAUAUAUUUUCAAGUGCUACUGUACUCGCAUCACAAUAUACAUAGAAGGAUAGAUUGCACUUUGACGGUUAUAAGACCAAAUACAAACAUAGUUUUUUUUUUUUUUAGAAACUCGAAUGUCUCUUCACAGAUAUCAAUCCAUUCAAACUUUGUUUGCUUUCUCAAUAAGUUGGUGAUAGAAAGAGUGAUUAUAACAUAAUUUGGAAUUAAUUCUUGAUACCACCUAUCAUAGUCUUAUAUUCUUUGUACCUCUUUCAUGCUUAUUGAAGGUUUGAGGUUAUUGAUGAUCCUAAUUUUCUUUGGUUUGAACUCUCUACCACUUUUAUUCACGACAUAGCUCAAUAAUACCUUCCAAUACACUAUAAGAUAGAUUUUUUUAAAGAUUUAAGGCCAUUUCUAUCUUUUUACAUUUCUCCAAGCUCUCUUUCUUGUGAUAUAGAUGAUCUUCUUUCCUAGAUUACAUAUUGAAAUCAUCAAUAAAUACCAUCAUAGAUUUAUACAAUAAGUCAAAGAAGAUGUACAUGACUAAUUGUUGGAAGGUGACUGAUUCAUUGCAUAGACCAAAUGAUAUUAUAUACCAUAUAAAGGUCUUCCAUGGUAUUAUAAAUACCAUCUUAUGCCUAUUUUUAGAAGAAAUAAAUACUUGGUUGUAACUAGAAUAUCCAUCCAUAAACAUAUAACAUUCAUGUCUUGCUACUUCUUCUAAGAUGUUAAUAAUAAAAGAAAACAAAAAAUAUUCUUUCUAUAUGUGAGUAUUUAAUUUUUGAUAAUCAAUAUAUAUACAAAAAAUCUUAUUUUUUUUCUUUACUAGCACCAUAGGUAAUAUCUAAUUGGUGAUUUUUACAGGUUUUAUAAAGUUUAUUUGUAAUAAUUUUUCUAACUCUGCUUUUACAACCAAUUGAAGUUGUAGAUUUAUUCUUUAUUCUUUCUAUCUAAUAGGUACCAUAUUUAAUACUAAUAGAAUUUAAUGUUAAACUUUCUCUAGAGAUAUAUCCUUCAAGUUCUUAUACGUCCAUUCAAAAAUAUCUUUGUAUUCUUUCACCAAUUAAUUAUAUGCUCCUAUCUUUGCUUCACUCAAUUUACUGCCUAUCUUUAUUUUCUUAGGUUCCUCUCCUUCUACUUGAAUCGUGACAUAUUUCUAGUCUUUUUUGCCAAUAUAUGACUAUUCAAUAUUGUUUCUAUACCAAUCAAAAGAUACAAUAAGAUAGUUGGCUACAUUUUCUUCCAAUAUGAUGCUAUAUGAAGUCUUAAAGUAUAAUAAAUCUUCUAAUGGCUUAUUUUCCUCAAAUACUUCUAUGUCUUGGAAUUCUUCUAUCGCCAUUGAGUACAAGCUCUCAUCUAUUUCAAAAAUAAAGGCUAAUCUAUUUUUUGCUUUAACAUCUUCAAUGAAAUUAAUUCCCUCCUCAACUAUAAUUGAAACUAGAUAUUCUUUCAUCUAUUGUUCUUACUUUCUAUUAUCUCUCCAAUAAUAGAAAUUAAGACUUAAACAUUUUAAUUUCUUUGUCUCAAUAUUUAGAUCCAUAUUUCUUACUAACACCUCUCCCACUAGCUAAUUGUCAUUCCUUGUACUUAAUGCUUUUUUUCCCUCCUCAAAAAAUAAUUUUUGAUUGAUCUCUCUGAUUAUAAUAGAUCUAAUCAAAACUCGUAUUUGAAUUUGACUAAGUUCAUAGGUGAUCAUAGGCCUCUUUUUUCUCUAAUUUAUAAUGGCAUUGGCCAUUCCUAAUUGUGGACAACCUAAUAGUAAAGAAAAUAAAUCUUUAGCCCUAUACAUGUAAAUCACAUGGAAUAUCAAUAUGUACUCUUUUCUCCCUAUGAUAACCUUGCAAUUCUUUAUUUGUCCAAUUAAUUUUGCUGGAUUUUGGUUUGCCAUGUUAAUCACAAAAGAUGAAGGUUCUAUUAAAUCUAGAACUAACUUUUUUAUACUUUAUAUGGGCAUUAUGUUUAAACCAAUUUCUCCAUCUACCAAGACAUUGGAAAUUAUCUUAUCUAUAAUCACCACCUCUAUUUCUUUUGCCUUGACAUUGAAUGGCUUGCCAAUAGAUUGUAGUCUUACCAUAGUUCUUGCCUUCAAUCUCUUCAUCUUCUUUACAACAUGUAGCCUUUCUUUUAAAGUCUUUCAUGUAAUAUGAGAGAUCUCUAGUAACUGUACAAUUGUGAUAUUUGUAUUAAGUCUACUAAGGACUAGCCUUAAAUCGUAGGAUUUAUAAUUGAAUUUUUUCUCUUUAUGCUUGAAUAGUUUAAGCUUUUUCAAUAUAAUAUUUCGUCUUUUUUAGUUUUUUUUUAUCUAAUUCUUCUUUCUUAUCUUCUUUAUCAAUAAAAGGUAUUUUACUACCUAAUAAUUGCAAGUAGACUAAAUUACUACCUAAAGCUCUAGUAAUCUUUAUUACAUCUUAUUUAAUCUUAUUUAACUCAAAAAAAAUAAAGAGAUUCUUCAAAUAAACUAUCUUUAGAUCUUAUAAUCUCUAAUACAAGGAAUUGUGCUACUGUCUUUGAUUGAGUCAUCAUUGCUACUGCUAAAACCUUUGGAUUAAUAUACACUUAUAGCUCUUGUAUUUUGUGAAUUAUGAGAUUUAUCUCAAGAAGCCUUUGUCCUAUAAUGGCUACCAAAAAAGUAUUAGAAGAGAAGAAACUGCUGACUUGAGUUUCAUGAAAUAUAUUAGCCAUCAUAAUAUCUUACAAAUUUAAAGGCCAUGGCUUCUAAUUUGUCUCUCUUAUACUCUCACCUUGGCCUUAUCUACCAUAUAAUCUUUGAUUUAAUGGUAUAUAUCGUCAUUGAAUUUGCAAACCUAUAAGAAGCUUAAGGAUUUGCCUUAUAUUCUUAUAGUUGUAAUACAAAUUAAAUGGCCUCAACUCGUUAUAUCCUUUUCAUAGAAGGUAUUUCUAAUCUUGCAUAUUGCUUUAGACUUCUUGCUUGAGAUUUGUUACUAGUACUAGUAAAAGUAUCAUCUUAUUUGAUUAUCUAUAUUCAUUAGAGGGGUGGUUGCUUCCACAAUUACUACAACCAAAGCAUUGAUUCUUCGACCAAUAUUGUUCCAAAAUAUGCUACCUAUUAUAAUAUUAGUAGAAUUCCUUACAUUACCUAUGCAGAUCUUUAAAUCCUUGGAAUCUAUUUUAAUACCUUCUUUGCUUAUAAUUCAGAUUUUGUUCUUUUUUUUAGUUUGAAAGUAUAGAUGGUGGCAAAAAAAUUUGCUCCCAAAUACCCAAGUGAGGUUCUAUCCUACAAGAUUAUAAAGAGUGGCUAGCUUGACUACAAUUAAUAGACCAUAAAUCCAAAGUAUGCCUCUUUGAUUCUAUCUGUAGUGGAAGUGCAUUGGAACCUUGGUUCGUUAUUAUACAAGUCAUGUGCUCUGAUAAGAACUAAAAUUGCUUCAUAAUGGCUUCUUGAAAAUCCUCUUGAUUAGCUUUUAUCUUCUUUUUUAUGUAUUUUAUUUGUUCUAAUAUUAGGACAAUUAAUGCAGAUAAAAGUAUUGAUCUUUUAAUAACUAAUGGCAGUGGAGCAUGCCUUCAGUCCAUGAUAGGUAAACUAGUGUUGGAAUCAAUUUGGCUUGCAAUUGAUUCUUGUACAUGUGGUUUAAUUGAGAUGAAUUGAAGAAUAGAUUCAUCAUCUUUUUUCUAAAGGUGCUCAUACUUCUUGUCUAUGGCUUCUACUUCCCUUACCGCUUGCUUGACAUCUUCCAAAAUCAUAGAAUUUUUUUCUAGCACAUCUUUGAUAGUGGAUCUUUUGAAGAAUCUUUAUAUAAAGAAUUACUUUAAUAUAUCAUUGUUAAGCAUAUUUACUAUAUAUAUAUAAGUUUGAAUCUCCAGACAUAUGAAGAUAUGUCCUUGUCUUUUAUUUAUUUUAUUGUGACUACUACUCUCAAAGUAGUAAUCUGUCUUACUCUUAGUCAAAAAUAAUUUAAGAAAUUUUCUUAUAAUUGGGGCUACUUAACAAAAUAUCCUUUUAGAUGGUUUUAAUACUAUUUAUAUACCUCACUAUGUAAAGUGGCAAAAAACCAAACCAAAUAAUAGCCUUGAUUGAUAAUUAACAAACUUACUAACAUUUCUAUAUAUUAUUUUGUAGGCAAAGAUAGAUCUUCAUCGUUGGUACCAUUUAACUUAGGUAGAUGAGUCAGUAUUGUGUAGUAACAUAACUAUAUGGUAAAAAAUAAAAACAUAGAUAUUAUUAUAAAAGAUCCUAGUAUGAAGAUGUAGUAGAAAAAUAAGGAUAAAUGAUAGGAAGGUAAUCAAAGAUUUAGACUUAAUAUUAUCUUUUAAAGAAAGGGCUUUUAUUUGCUUUGUAGGAACAUAAAUGCUUCAAAUCAAAAUAAAUAAGAUAAAUAAUUGAUAUAGACAUGUUUAGAAGAGAGUUACUAAUAGGUUCAAGCAAAAAUUUCCUCAAAUUAUCAAAUAUUGAUACCCAAAGAGGACCAAUUGUCAACUUGAGUCGAAAUCAAACCAUGAUACACAAAACCACAUGCCUAUAGCUAUUCAAGGGUUUUAAUAGAUCAAAAAAAGAGAUUUGAGAGCAAACUUGUAAAGAGAUUUUUGACCAUUUUUUUUAUAUCAAUAAAUUUAAUAUUUAAUUUUUGAAAGAUUUUCGAAAUUAAUAAUAUUCUUAGUUGGAUUAUAAUUUAAAAAAUAAAAUUAUGUUUACAAAAUUAAAGGUUUCUUGAGUUUUGUGGUAUGUGUAUGUGUAUGGAUGAAUUUUAGGCAAUGUUUUGGUGUUCUAGUAGUUAAUCAAAUAAUUAGAUCAAAGUGUGUAAAGGUUUUUGUGGAUCAAGGUCUCAAAAACUAGAAUUCAAAGAUUAAUGAGUAUUUUUAAGAUCUUUCACAAUCUAUUAAUUGGAUUGAAGUGAAUUUUUUUUAUAUAGAAACUAGACUUAAUUUCUUAAAAUUUAAAGAUAUUUUAGAGGCAAUUUAAUAUUUUUAAAAAUAUAUAUAUUUAUACUAAAAGUUCAACAUUCAAAUUAGAAUAAAAAGCCAGCCAACAUCUAAGUGGAAUUUAGGAUUGAUCUUCUAUUGGGUAAAUUUGAUCUUCUUCAAAUUUUGUAUGAUUAUUGCCAACUUAGUUGAAAAGUGUACAAAAUCUUAAAAAAGAUCAAUGGUAUAAUUGAUAGAUAUUAAUGUUCUAAACUAUUCCAAGGUUAGAUUAAUUUAAUUAGGGUUUGAUUUAGGAUUUAGAAAUUAGUUAGGAUUUAGGGUUUAUUUAGGAUUUAGUUAGAAUUUGACUUAGGAUUGAAGUAAGAAAUUUUAGGAUUUUAAUUAAAAUUAAAGUAAGAUUUGAUUAGAAUUUAUUUAAGGUAUAAUUUGGAUUUUAUUUUAAUACUUCUUUUGAAUUUCUUUAAGAUUUCUUCAUGCUUCUUUCGUAAUUUCUUUGAGGUUUUUUUGGAUUGACUAAGCUUAAUUAAUAUUAUUAAGAUUUAAUUAGAAUUAUUUAAAAUUCUAUUAGAAUUAAAAUCUUAUUAUUAUAAUAUUCCUUCUACCUUCUACAAGCAAGUGCUCAAUGCAUUCUCUACCAAGGCUUCAUGUAAUACAACACCAAGAUAGUAGUUGUAGCCAAAUUUCGAGGUACUACAAUAGGCAAACUCUUUGACAUCAAUAGAAAGAUCUUUCUGUAGUUGGAACAUUCUUUUAAAAAUAAGUUCUUCCAUAGGUACAGUAUUAAUUAAAGUCUCUAUUGUCUCUCUAUUGCCAAUUAUUCCAAAGAUUGAAAAAUAAUCUUAUUCUCUCUUCUUUCUAAACUCUAGAAAGGAUGGUUCUUUACACUCCAUCUUAUUUCUAAUAUUUUGUGUCUAAGAUAGAAUCUAUUCCCGUUGUUGUGGUUGCUCUUUCAAAUUCUUUGCUACUUCUUUUUUCUUCUAAUGUUCUAAUGGUUUCUUUAGGAUAUUAUUUUGAUAUUAAAUGGUUUCUCAAACUUUGUUGUCAUAUUACAUGAAGUCUUGCUUGAGAACGCACUAGACACUCGAUUAUAGAAGAUAAAAGAAAUUUUCAACAAUAAGUCUUAACCUCACUAAUAGAAUCGUAUAUAAAUUACUAUAGAAGCUUAACAGAUAUAAUCAAGCAUCAUAUAGGUCUAAUGAUUAUUAUUAUUUUAUUAUAUUUUAUUUUAUCUUUUUUAUUUUAAAAAUAAAUUAUAAAAAAAUAAAAAAAAAAAUCCUAAAAAAACCUAAAGAAAUUCAAAAGAAUCCUCAAAGAAUCUAAAAAGAAUCCUAAAAAAUCCUAAAAAAAUCCUAAAGAAAUCCAAACCAAAUCCUAAACCAAAUCAAAUCCUAAUCUUAACCAAAACCUAAAUCCUAACCAAAUCCUUAUCUUUACCAAAUCCUAAUCUUAACUAAAAUCUAAAUCCUAACCAAAUACUAAUCCUAAUAAAAAACUAAUCAUUUUUUUUGAAUCUCAAAUAAAUUUCUAACAAUCUUACAAUAGAUUUUGAAAUUCAAUAACUAAUAUUUGAACCAUUGAUUUCAAUUCAAAAUUUACAUAUUCUCUACCAAUUAAAUUAAUAAUAAGUAUAAAAAAAUUGAAAAAGAUCAAAAUUACCAAAUAGAUAAUAAGCUCAAAAAUAUGCUUAGGUGUUGGCCGGCCUCCUUCUUUGAUCUUCAUGCCAAUCUCCUAGAACCAAUUAUUUCUGAUUGACUUGUCACUUUGCUUCCAAACUUUACAUACUUCUUAGAAAUCAAGCUGACUAUCUUUAUAAAGAAAAUUUGCUUCAAUCUAAUUAGUAGAUUGAUAAAUAUCUAAGAAAACCUCAUUGGUCAUCAAAAUCCUAAAUUUUGAGAUAAUAACCCAUAAAAAUCUUCAUGCUUUUUAAUCUAAUUAUUUGAUUAAAUCUAAAUUCAUAGUACACUUGUAGCACAAUUAUAUCCACAAACUGGAAAAAGUUCACUUAUAGAUCUAUUACUAAGCUCCUGAAAUUAUCAAAAAUGUCAAUCCUAUUUUACUUUCUAAAAAUCAAAGUCACUAAAAACAACAUUGACUUUGCAAAGCUCUUACGAAGUCAUUAUCUACUUAAAAUCCUCAACAUCAAUGCCUACAAAAAUUCUAUCAAGUCUAAUCUCCAAUUUCAUUCUUAGAUCAAUCAAAGAAUCUCAGAAUUGUUAUUGAGGCUUAUUUUUGUGCCUCAAGGUCUAAUUUCAAUCCUAGUUGAUAAUUGAUCUUCUUUGAGUAUCAAAUUUUAUUUCUUUUGAGGUAAAUUUUGCUAAAAAAAACUCCUAACUUUCUUCUACAUAUGCCUAUAUCUUUUAUUUUUUUGAUCUACUUUAUUUUGUCUUAUUUAUGGCCCUACAAAAUAAGUAGAAGCCACUUUUUUAAAAAGGUAGAAUUACUAUUACAAGUUUUACUACCUUCCUAUCUUUUAUCUAUAUCUUUUUUACUUUAUCUUUUAAUUUGGCUCUUCUAUAAUGAGAUCAAUACUAUUAUCUUUCACUAUAUAGUUGUAUUACAAUACAAUAUCUACCUUCUUUGAACUUGUGCAUCCUCCGGAAUUCGCUAAAUAAUCCAAUAUUGUAAGAUUCAUACUAUGUUGUUUAUGUCUUCAUCUAAGUCAUCUUCAUCAUUUUUGCUAUUUAAGUUAAGUUCAUCUUCUUAUCUUAGUAGAUUUAUGUCGUCAAUAAGGUCUUCUACAUUUAUAUAUGUCUGUCUUUGUUUGAAUAACUUCUUUUACUUCCUUGCAAUUGGUAUUUUUAAUCCUAUUCUAUCUAACUCUAGUAAUGAAUAAGUUGUAUUAUCAUGAAUAAUUGUUACCAAAAAUGGUUCAAAUCAUUGUUUAAAAUAUUUUAUUAAAAUACUAUGUUGAUUGUUCAAGCUACUAUUAUAGAUCAAUAUCUAAUCACCUUCUUCCAUUGCUUUAGAUCCUAAUUGAUGUUGAUUAUCAAAUCGUGCCUUGUUUUGUAAUUUAUUUAUUUAUUUAUUUAUUUAUUUAUUACGGUCUUUUCUUUAAUUAUUAAUUUUGAAUAGCUAUAAGUUCUAUUCUUAUCUAUUGUUUUAUAUUUUGUCUUCAUAAUGACCUUUGAUGCUUGAAAAAAAGAAAUCACGAUAAAAGUAAUUUCUUAUGAAUGAAUUUUUACAAUCUUAUCAUCAUUUUUUAAUCCAAUAGAUGUAAUUUUUUCCAAAAAUCCUCCAAUCCAAUUUCUUAAUAAAUACAAAAAACUUUAUCAUCUUUUAAUACUUCUAACUCACAUAAUUCUUUUUCAAUCAUUUUUUUUAUUUUUUAUUUUUAAAUGCUAAUAAAACUUGAAUCAAAAGCACCUAUAUCUUAUAAGAGUAACUCUCUUUUUAUACCUCCGUAGUCUUGCUUUAUAGUGAUACUUUUCUAAUUUUUUUAUUUUUUUUUAAUUUAUUUUUUAAUGCCAAUGUUUCUAUUUACUCUACAUGUAUAAGUAGUUUGAAAAUACCUUCCUUUGCACAUGAUCAAACCAAUGGUGAAGGUACAAAAUUUGAAAUGAAAAGUCUAAAUUGAAAUCUCUCCCACAUAGCCACAUAUAUCUUGCUUGUAUUUUUUUUCUUAUUUCUUUGAUUCCAAGUCCUAUUUAAGAUGUCCGUGUAAUCUUUAAAUCCAUUUUCCAUGGCUUUCUUUUUGAAGAUUAUUAGAUUUUCAACCCUUGAAUUUCAUACUUGAUGAUGAACCUUAUCUUUGUCAAAAUCCAAUUAUGUCUCCAUUAUAUGUACAUUACUUAUGUAACCUUGACCUUGGUUCAAAAGAAAAGUGCUCACAAUUAACUUAAUCAUAGCUAAUGACUUGAUACCCUUAUCUAUUGUUCCAUAAUCUUUAUUUGUCACAUAAACUUAUAUAACAUCCUUCAUAUCUUCUUGAAUGCAUCUUUGUGAAACAUCAUAACCUUUUGAUGUCUUUAAGCAUUGUAUAAUUUCAUAAUAUUUAGAAAUCUCAUGUCCUUUCAAAAUCUCAUGCUCUUGAAAAGUCUCAUAACUUUCACAAUAAUCCUUUAUGGUUUUACAACCACACUUAGUAUCGUAGCCUUGUGCAAUUUCAUAACCUUCUCUAUAAUAAUCAUAUGAAAACUCAUUUCUUUCAUCCAAGGCAUAUGUGGUCUCAUAGCCAUAUGUAAUUUGACUUUCAUCAUCAUCUCUAUGCAUAAUUCCACCAACUCUUACAUUAUAAUAUUAUGAAUUUAUAUAACCUAUAUGAUCAUAAUCUUGAAUAGCUCUUUAAUCCAUCUCUUUUGAAGGCUCAACUUUAAAUUCUUCAAUAUAAUCCAAAGUACUGUAUAAAAUAUCUUCACUUCCUUCAAAUAUAAAAAAUAUCCUUUGGUCAUCAAGAAAUGCUCCAUUCAAAUUGCUAUCACCAACAUGUACAAACUUAUUCAAUUUAGAAUAGCCAUAGCUUCCAACCGCAUUGUCAUUAGUUUCCAAAUCUUUGAUCUUCAUAUUACCUUCAAAUUUUUAGAUACCUUGGCCUUCCAAAGUAAUAGUUUGAAAAGAAUCUUUAUUCUCUCUUUCACCAACUUUGAUAUAAGAUUCAAUUUCUUUUAUUUGCAAAGAAUUGGCUUUUCCAUUGAAGUCCUCUACUUGUUCAUCGAUUUUUCUUUUUUUAAAACAAAUCCCCUGCAUUGAUAAAAAUGACAAAGAAAUUAAAGUAGAAGAUUUCUUAGGCCAUAUUACAAUUCUUUUAGCUCAUGCUUCUUAUAGCCUUCCUAAAAAAAUCACUACAUCUUUUAACUUCUCUCAAUUAUUGGUAAAACCACUCUUCAUUUUUGUAUUACAUAUUGUCUUGCUUGGGAAUGCACUAGGCCCUAGCUGAUGAAGGUGAGGUUGUGUUUCACAAAUAUCCAAAAAUCCUUAUAGAUUUCACUCAUAUGAGAAGAAUAUCAUUCAAAUUUUGAUUCAAAAGUACUAAAAAAUACUCUUCUUAGUAGCCUCAAUCACACAUAAACCUCAACUACCUUGUUACUUUUAUAUUUAAGCAAUUUAGAUUUUUCUUAUAAGCCCCAAUUCUAAUCAAUGAUCUUUCAUAAGUUGUAACAUCUAAUUUGACCGUCCACUUGAUGUAAAAUUUUGCAUGAAAUUGUCAAUAUAAGUCUUCUAUAUGCUUAAGAAUUUUUAGCCCAAUCCAACUUAUAAAUUGUGAGAAAACCUCCAAAAAUUGCACUAAUGUCACUUGGUUGCCAACUUGAAAAGUGAAGCAAAAAUCCUAGCAUUGAUUUCUCCUUCUCUAACUAUUAACUUCAAUUCAAAAUUGGUAUGCAGCUUGAUCUUCAAGUCCUUCAAUACUAUGCCAAAUUUCACCUAGAUCCAACUGGUAGAUCUCUAGAUAUCAUAGAAAUCCUACCCAACCUCAAAUUGCCAACUUUUGAAACCCUCUUGUGCUAAAAAUUAGAUAUCUCUAAACCACACUAUUAGAUUAUCACAAAAUUUUGUAUAUACUUAGUACACCUAAUAAUCCAAAUAGUAUAAAAUUUUGAACUAUAGAUGUUACACCAAUUGCACAAACUAAUAAAAAUUGCUAGUCGUAGUUAUAUUAUAUAAAUUCCAAAUUACCAAUACAAACCCUGAUUUUGAACAAUAGUUGCCCAAUCUUCAAAAAUCCUACAAAAGCAAUCCUUAUGCCUUAGAAAAGAGCCUCAAGCUAGCUUUCAAAUUCUAAUCUCCGAUCUUUGAAUGCCUCUCUAAUUUGCCCUAGGCAGUCGUUUUAAUAACUAGAAGUCUGAUUUCAAGCCUACCUCAUAAACCGUCAAUCUCCAAAUAUCAAUCUAAUCUAUCUUAAGGAUUUUUUAAUCCAAUCCUACCUUCAACUUGAUCUUAGUAUCAAUCAUACCAACCAUUUACCUCUUCUACUAUGAUUUUAAUAAUUUAUGGCCUUUUUAAGGUAGUAAAAAAGUUUUUAUAUUCUAAAAGGUAAAAAUACUAACUAACUUUUAUUUAUUUGCUAUUAAGACAAGAAAAUAGGCUAAGAAGCUUUCAUAAAAGCCUUAUUAAAAUAUUUUUAAUUCUUGCUGAAUUAAUAUAAUAGAAAAUUAAUUAAAAAAUCAUUUUUAGUCAUAUUUUCACCAUAUAAUUGUGUCACAACAAGACAUUGUAGACUUAUCUAUAAGAUCAUGAAAAGCUUGUCUCACAAGGCAUCAUCAAGACCAUUUAAAAACAACUCUUCCAUUAUAGCAUCCAAUGAUUGCUUCUUUAAGGAUGAGAGUUGAUAAAAUCUCUUCUCAAAUUCUUCUAAGAAUUCAUAAAGAUCCAUAUGCUUACUUAGUUGCAAUUCUAUCCAAUCCAAAAACUUUUGCUUGGUAAUCCUAUCCUCAUCUCCAUCAAUAAACUCUUCCUUCAAAAGUUCUUAAAAUUUUGACCAUGUCUCCAUACUUCCCCCAAGCAAUCUCUAACAACUCUAAUAGAUUCUUAAAUAAAAUAUAAUUAAAGUUUAGAAAAUAUAAUUAAACAUUAAUGAAAUUCAAUUAAAAUUUCAAAAAAUUAUACAAAAAAUACAAAGAAUUUUUAGAAAUCCUUUAAAGAAAUCAUAAAAAAAUAACAUAAAAAUUCAAAAAUAAAUAUUAAAAUAGAAAUCUUAAUUAAAUCUUAAUUAAAAUCUAAUCAAACCUUAAUCAAACCUUAAUCAAAUCUUAAUCAAAUCUUAAUCAAAUCCUUAAUAAAAUCUAGUCAAUCAUAAAUAAAUCCUAGUCAAAUCCUAGAUAAAUCCUAAUCAAAUACUAAGCAAAUCCCAAACAAAUCCUAAACAAAUCUUAAUCAAAUCUUAAUCAAAUUAUAAAUAAAUCCUAGUCAAAUCUAAGUUGAAUUCUAACUUAAAUCAAAUCUUAAUCCUAAUCAAAUCCUAAUCUUAAUCCUAAUCAAACCUUAAAUCAAAUCUAAAAUCCUAAUCCUAAUUCUAAACCAAAUCCUAAUCAAUUCCAAGUAAUUUCUAUAGCAGAUUUAAACCUCAAUAAUUAAUAAAUUAAUCAUUGAUUUUAAAUCAAAAUUUGCACACUUCUUAACAAUUACAUUGAAAACAUACAUAAUAAAAAUUGAUAAAGAUCGGAUUUAUCAAAUAGACAAUAAUCUCAAAAAUAUACUUGAAUGUUGGCUAGCCUCCUUCUCUAACCUUGAUGCUAAUCUUCUAGAGCUAAUUACUCUUGAUUGAACCAUUAUUUUGCUUUAAAACUUUACAUUCUUGUUAAAAAUAAAGCUAACUACCUUUAAGAAAAAAUUUGCCUCAAUCUAACUAGUAGAUUGACAAAUAUGCAAGAAAACCUCACUAGUCUUUAAAAUCCUAAAUUUUGAGACAAUAACCCACAAAACCUUCAUGCAUUUCAAUCUAACUAUUUGAUCAAAUCCAAAUUUAUAAUACAUAUGUAGCACAACUACAUCCACAAACUAAAAAAAUUUCACUUGUAGAUCUAUUACCAAACUCUUGAAAUUACCCAAAAUGACAACCUUAUUUUAUUUUCCAAAAAUCAAAGUCACUAAAAACUACAUUGACUUUGCUAAGUCCUUCCUAUGUCAUUAUCUAUUCAAAUCUCCUAAAAUUAGUACCUAUAGAAACCUUAUCAAGUCUCCUUUCAAAUCCCACUCUUUGAUCAAUAAAAGAAUCCCAUAAUCAUUGUUGAGGCUUGAUUUUGUAUGUCACGAUUUGAUUUUGACCUUGGUUUGUAACUUGUCUUUUCUAGGUUACAACAUGACACCAUCUUGAUCCAAUUUUAUCAAUAUUUUCUAUAAUUAAGGUUAAAUUGGGUUUCUUUGAUCUAGUUUGUAUAUUCAUUUACUCAAUUUCUAUUAGCUUCCACCUUAUUCGCCACAUACAUCAUAUCCAUCAUACAUCCUUUAUAUCUUUUUUAUGGUAUUUCCACCGAGUAAGGUAGAAAUACUUUUGGAGAUUUAUAAGCAGAUAAUUGCAAGCCCACUUAAAUUUAUAUUUUUUUUAGGAAGAAAAAUAAAUAAUAAAAAAUAAUUUCUGAUUUGGAGUAGAAUAUCACCUCUGUGCCCUUCUCAUUCUAUUGCCAUAUAAAAUAAAUUGUCAUAUCUUCAUUGAGCACCAAAAUGAAAUUUGAGGAAUCAUCCUACCAUUUUUAAGUUGACAUACAAUUAAGGCAUUAUCCACUAUAUAAGUAAUAAUAUAAAUACAAUACAAAAAAUAUUAUUUUUUAUCUGUUCAACUAAUUGGGAAGUAUAUGUAUCUAUAUGCAAUGACUAUGCAUCUUGCAUAUUAGUACCUUCGCUCACAAUUCCUAUAUAAAUUAUUAAUACUAAUUUUUCUAUUAAUUCCUUAGAUCAAUGUAAUUUAUGGUAGAAAAAGAUCCUACCUAAUUGUCCAAAUUAAGUUCUAGUCACUCACCUAUUGCCAUGCUCCUUCCACCAAGACUCCAACUAGUACUCCACUUUCGUGUCCACUUCACUUUUUGUUCUCUACCUCCUUCUUUUAACCUCAACUUUAACUUAAAAUACUUCAUCAUUAAUUCACCAAAAAAUUAAUCAUAAUAAUAAGCAAAAAAAAUCUCUAAGCAAUUGAUUUUCAAGCAAUGGCCAAAAUAAGGCUCUCAAUAAAUAUACCAUUUUAUAUCAAAAAAAUUUAUCCAUCUUAAUUGCGAUUGGUAAUCCGGUAGAAUAACUUCACUCACAUAAGAUUAAAUGUCUUUUAUUUUUUAACCAUUGUUUAUUUAUGAUUUUAUUUUAUAAAUUUUUUAUUUAUUUGUUAUAUAUAAUUUAUUUAUUUAUAAUUAUUAUUAUUUAUUUAUUUAUUAUUAUUAUUAUCAUUAUUUUUAAGUCUCCAAUACAUCCUUAUGAGAGAUUGUUAGGAAUAUUUUUAGAAGUCUUUUCUAUUCUAUUCUUGUUUAGAAAUAAUAUGCUUAAUUUUUUUACUAUUUUUAAUAUAUUUUUUUAGUUUUAAAGGUCCAAAUAACAUAUUUUUUACCAUUAAUUCCUUCUCCACUACUUUAUCAAUAAGACACCACAAUCCCUACUUAAUUUAAUUUUAAACCACAAUUGUUUCAUCUACCAUUAUAAUUAUACUUUGCUCUUUACACCUAAAUGAGUCUUUUCUUUGAUAAUUUAUCCUACUUAACUACAUCCAAACUUUUCUCCUCUUAACUCUAUUGAUUUAUUCUAAUAUUUUUUUCUAAUUGUAUUGUGAGUCAAAAAAUUUGAUUCAUAUAAAUACAAGAAUGAAGCCUUCCUCAGUCUUAUCAAUUCUUUUCUUGCCUCUAGUCUAAUUUUCUUGUCUUUUAGCAAUAGCUAUUCUAGUUUCUUCUUGAAUUUAUGCAUUUCAUUAUUUUAUUUUUCUUAUCUUUCUUUAAGAAAAAUUUUGUUUGUUUAUUUAAUUUUUUUGGUUUUUCAUCCUUGAAAUCUUCUAAGUCAAAAUUAAAUAAUUUAUUUAUCUUUCAAAUAUAUACUAGAUAAUUUAAUAUUUAUAAAUAUUAAAUAAUUUUGUUAAAAAAUAUCUGUUAUUUUUAAGCAUGACUACAAUAAGUGAAAGUUCAUACUCAAAAAAUAAAGCAAUUGGACUUUGGACAUAGUUUAUAAACAUAAUAGACUUAAAAUUUCAUAGAUCAAAAAUUUAAGUAAAUAUUAUUAUUAUUAUUAUUUUAUUUUUUAAAAAUAAUUUUAAAUAAUAUAAGAAAAAAAUAUACUAUGAUUCAAUACUUUUAUUUUAUUGUAGAGAAAAUUACUAAUUGUACCUUGCAUAUCUUUCUAUCUUGCCACAAUCAAAAAAUUAAUGUUAUCUCUAAAUACAAAAAAAUUGAUAAUAAGUCAAUAUUUUGAUUAUAUUUGAUUAUUUUAUAUAAUCAAAUAUAACUAUAAAUAUAGUAGUUAUUAAUAUUUUUAAUUUUAUUUUAGAUUUUGUAAUCAAUUAAAAAAAUCAAUAAUUAUAUGAUUUUUUUAUUUUUCAAAAAUAUAAUCAAAAUUCAAUAGCAAUAGAAUUACACAAAGAAUAGAUGAUCAAUUAUUUUAUUGGGAAUUAUAUUGGACUUAAUUUUAAUUCUAAGACUAUUAUUAAUUUCAUAAUUUAAAAAAUCUUCAAAAAUUUAAAUAUUAUUACUUUAUAAAUUUAUUUUUUUUAAAAUAAAAUAAUAAUAAUUAAUUAUAUUAUUUUUAUAGAAAUUAUGUAAGCUCAAGCUACAAGCACAUUCUAAGUUGCUAUACAAACACCUCAUAUUGUUAUAUGCACACUCAAAAAAUAUGGAUUCUUGUAAUUCGUUGGAUAUUUUUAUAUGAACCCUGCCAUAUAACUCAAGUAGGAGAGGUGAGGGGGGAGAAGACGGAGUUUAGAAGAGGUGUAAAUCCUUGUUCUAGUAGUCUUACUAAUUAGUUAAGAAGUUAGAUCAAAGAGUGUUAUUUCUUGCUAGAAUCUCCAAGGACAAAGCCUUUGCUAUAAAAUUUAAAAUCUACACCUUAUAUCAACAAUAUCUUGUGGAAGCAAAGAUCUCUACUUCAUGGACAACUUUAUCAAGAAAAAAUCUUUGUUUUGUAUUCACUUCAAUAAUCUAUAAUAUUAUACCAAUUUUUAUGGCAACUUUAAUAAAUAAUUUCAAGCACAUAUCUUCAACCACCAAAGACUAAGACUUGGAUCUUGAAUAGAGCCCAAUCAACUAACAAUCUCUAUAAACAUUGCCUAUUGAAGAAUUCCUAAUUGCCGAGCAUUAAGCAUUUCAUUGACAACUUUAUAACUAGCCAAAUUUUUAUUCAUUAUUUGUUUGUGAAUUUCAUUCUAUUCUUUUAUUUGCAACAAUGAGCAUAAACAAGAUAAUGUUUAUCAACAACAGCCAUGGAGGCCAUUUGUCAUUAGAUACACAAUUUGUUUCAAAUCAUAAGUACCUUCUUAUUUAUUGCCCGUUGUAUUGCAAGUGAUGGUUGCUACUCUUUUGACAUGUUAGAGGUGGAGUUUGAAUGCUUGAAUAGAGCAAUAUCUUAACAAAAAGCCUACACUUUUUUAGUGUAGAAAACUCAAUUAUGCUGAAAGGAAUAAAUAUUAGAUAGAUAUUGUCAUUAUUCAUUAUAUAUAUAUAUAUAUAUAUAUAUAUAUGUGUGUGUGUGUGUGUGUGUGAAUAUGCAAGAGCUUGAUUAUUUGCUUAUAUAUAUAUAUAUAUAUAUAUAUAUAUAUAUAUAUGUGUGAAUAUGCAAGAGCUUGAUUAUUUGCUUAUAUAUAUAUAUAUAUAUAUAUAUAUAUAUAUAUAUGUAUAUGUGUGUGAAUAUGUAAGAGCUUGAUUAUUUGCUUAUAUAUAUAUAUAUAUAUAUAUAUAUAUAUAUAUGUAUACAUAUAUGUGUAUGUUUUGUACUCUAAGUUAAUAUUAUUACAAAGCUUUUGAGUAACAAGCGCAUUAUAUUAUAUUUAUAAAUAUAUAUAGCUAGCAAAAGGUGUAAUGCAAUAAAAUUUGGCAAAAAAAGACUUGGUACAAAAUGUAGAUUUUAAAUUUUCUUGCGGAGGCUCUAUUCUUCAAAGGGCCCCACAAAGAACAACACCCUUUGACUUUGCUCAUCAACAAGUCAACAUGACUAUUAGAGGGGAGGCUGCCACUUCUUCUAAUUCCCUUCCAAUUAUAUUAAGUAGCAAAGUCUACAUAAAAACAUCUAGCCAAUCACAAGCUUCUAUGUUUUUUUGAUGUGCAUAUGGUAAUACAAGUUGUGUGUGUAGCAACUUAGAGUGUUCUUGUAGCUUGAGCCAUUAUCUAUUCUAUCAUCGUAUAGUAUAGUUUUUUGACAUCUAUAAAGUUAAUCUAAAGACUAGUUAAAACAUAUUUUUGAAAAAAAAAUAAAAAUCAAUGCAAGAAUUAAUAUUUCUUAGCAACUUUUAAACCAAAGUAUUCUAAAUAGAGGCCUAAACUUCAUCAACAUAGAAAUAUUUUGAAUACAUUUUAAGUUAAAUGGAUGCUAAAAGUUUUUUUACCACAUUUUUUAAAAAAAUUUAAUUUUUGUGCUAUAUAAAUUUUUUAAUCCAAUCUUUUAAACAAAUCUAUAAAAAGAUUCUUGAUGUAAAGAGGCUUAUUUUAUCAUCUUUCAAAUACUCUUUUGAAUUUGAAGUGAAGAAAAAAACUUGUGCAAUAUUAAAAUUAGUGACCAAAAGCUUCAAAUACGUUCAAUUUGGUAAUUUCUAAGCAAUGUAAAACUUUCUAUUAUUAUUUGAUUUUUAAAAAAACCUUCAUUGGUACUAUCAUACCAAGAUAAACAACCAUUAAACUUUGUAAGCACAAUAUCUAAUAAAUCAAGGUUAUAUGGAUUAAACAUAUGUUUAAUUAAUGUAUAUAAACCUUUAUUAGAUGCUCAAAUGACAUGAAAUCUAUGCUAUAUCUAAAAUCCCUUUAAUAUUCUUUGUACCUAUAUAUAAGUUAGUUUUUGACCUCAAAGAUUAUUUAUAAAGAGACUAUUUACCUUAAGAAUAAAGUAGAAGAAAAAGAAAAAGAAAAAGAAAAAGAAAACUUUUAUAAAAUUGCAUUUCUCUUACUUUCAUAAAUAUAAUCACAUGAAUUAGUAUCCUACUAUCCAAUUUUAUUUUAAACUAGACAUUACUAUGGAGCAAAAUUAGAGCAAAAGAAAUAAUCCUUAUUGGUAUUUUACAUGAUACAAAGACAUUACAAUAAAUACAUGGCAUAUGAUAAUAUAAAAUGAAAUUAAUAAGAAUUACCAACUAUGUACCACAAAGAUAUUUAAAAUUUUCAUUUAUUGAUUUUGGAGUUGCUGUACAAUUCAAUGCAUUUGGAAGCGAAGCACAACUACUUUAUAUUAUCUUAGCAAAAAUAAAAAGGUCAAGGGCAUGCUAUGUGGCUAGUUCCACCUAUUUAACAAAAAAUAUUUGAUAUUAGUUUAUAAAAUAUUUCUAACAUAAAAAUCAUUUGGCCUUUUAUGAUAAGAGGUUGCUUUUGGAUCAUAUAUGAACAAUAGAAUGACUUAAUUAUAAAAAAAGAGAAAACAUAUGAAUAUGAUUAAAAUAGAUUAAUAAACUAUGACAAAAGAUGUUGAAAGAUAUUUCUCUUAAUAUGUUAAAAACAAAAAAGAAAAAAAAAAAAGAAAGGCAUUUUCUUUUUCUUUUUCAAAAGUCUUGGUUUAGAAAGCCUAAAAAUUAUGGAUUAAAGAUAAAGAGAAGCACCCUACUACCUGAGGUAUACACUUCUCACCCAACAUAGAAGUUCUCACCUAGACUCUGGAAUUGUAACCCUGUUUUUCAAUGGCAAGGGGGGUUUUCCCCUUAUGUUUAAAAUAAAAUAAAAAAACACAAACACAAGCAAUCAAAGCAUGAAUCCCUGAUGAGUAGAACCCGGAUGAACCUAAAUUAGGAUUUAGACAGAUGAACAAUACUGCUGCAGAGGCAGAGUAAUUCAGAGUAAUUCUGUCUGUCUGUUUGUAUGUUUGUCAGUUCAGCUAGAUUGCUGACUUGCCUGGUAGGAACGAGAGCCUCUUUCAUGUCCAAGGCUCUGCCAGAACGUUGAGCUCUGAAGACCAUUGACUCAGUGUUCAAUGCCGAGCAAGGAGCUAUUAAUGCGUUUCAACCCAUCAGGAUUUGGUGGCAUAGUUUACUACAAAGUUCAAACAGAGAUCAUUGAUGUGGGGGAGUUUGAGCCAGCCUCAUUUACUCGGAGGGCUCUUCACAACAUUGCUCGAGAUGGGUCGGCAGCAUUAAUCGCGUAACAAAUUUUUAUCGUGGUUGAGACGCAAUUCAAACGCUGGUAGUAGGCGCCACAAAGUGCUAAGAGGAUAGAUGAAUUCAGGGCAGCUUUUACAAAGUGAUAUAUAGUUGGGUUUUUGUUUUUUACUUUUUGUUUUGUUUUGUUUAAGUGUUUUAGUGUUUUUCCCUCUUUCAACCCUAACUGCUGUGUUGCCUAAGUUGAUCUCUCAUUAUAGGGGUGUACUUAAGACGAAUUGAGUCAGAAAACCCUGCAGCUUGCCUGGCUCCACACUCUGUUCAUCUCUUAUUUCCAGAAUACCUCAUCACUCAAUCUGUAGGAUGGGUUCUGACGAUUAUUGGUGCAGUACACGUUCGAAUCAACUGUAGCUCCGUUGUUAUUCAGCCAGCUACGUGUAAAAAUGUGAUGGUGAACUAGGUGCUUGAACACUGAAAAACUGUACAUGGGAAUUUCAUUGGUCUGCUCACAUACAUUUGUCGAGAUGUAGGGCAUUCAAGAGGAUUUAAGCCUUAGGGUAUAGCUUUGAAUAAGGGAAUUUAUACAUUGAUAGACUCAGGAGAGUUGCAGUGUCGCAUUAAACUUCACUGCCAGCCAUCAUUCCUCAACUUUACUACGGCGCUGGUGAUUUCAACCUUUUGUAUGUGUUACAUUACCCCUGCUGGAAUGGUGAUUUUCCUCUUGCUAAUCUCGUUACUACUACUCCUGAAUUCGCUGCUGUGUGCAUUCGGGGUGACGCUCCUGUAAUUAUGUGAGAUUCAUUGCUCAUACUAGUUAUAUUGUAGAGGUCUUGUACAUUCAUGGUUCCUAUGCGGUUAACUUGAUUUCAUACACACUUUUAAGUUGUUACAGCUGAGCUGAUCUAGACAUUAUACUUGGUUGAAGGCCGAAAGAGUCGCGGGGAGCAGAUCGUUAGUGAUAAUCAUCGAGCGAGUACAACCUUAGUAGUGGCACUCCCCUGCCGGGAGAGGUGUACCAUUCCGUUGCCAUUCCAUUGCCUUCACGAUUUCUCGAACCCUCACGACAUCGAGCGUAGAUCGAGCAAUCCUGCAGGUCCAAAAGCCAAGGACAGAAGUGCCGCAGGUUGUAUGGCCUUGAUGAUUUGCACCUCAGUCUGGUAACAAAUUGCAACUUGUCAAACGGACGUGACUGCAUCUGCUCGUGUAUGGAGGAUGCGCAGUACAUGGAUAGCCUACGAUCUGCUGUUGUGUAUGCUAUUUUAAUUAUCUCAAAGUUUUGGGGUAUUCCUUCUCCGUAUUGAAUCUUGGUAGAAGCUGGCUUGCUGAGUCGUUUGCGGCUGUCAUCAAGGAUCAUUUCGCAAUCUUUCUCCAGCGCUGCUGUUUUUUUUGUUCCACCUUCUACCUACGGGACGGCGAGCUCAACAUGUGAUGCGUAGUGCUUUCAAGUCACUGCUCAUUGUCUUCUAAGAGAGUAUGCAGAUACAUUUAGCUCGGACCUCUACCAGUUAGGCUCAGUUGUAAUUGAAUACAGGAGGAAGGAGUUCGGGUUACUUGAGAUGCACUAGUGAAAAACUUACACCACCUGGAGCUUCUCGACUUUGGUAAAACUGUUAUGGCACGGAUCACCGCAGAUUUAAAUUGAGAGGUUGAACCAGCAAGAAGUUGGCGCACACACCAUGGAUUCUUCAUCUGAGUCCUAUCACAAAAUUGAAGUGAUUUAUCUCCUCAGCAAGGGGGCCGAGCAGGAUGAUCAUCCACACAUGAUACAAGUGCAGUAUCCCUCACACCAACAUGCCCCUACACUUAGAGGUUUGUCAAAACUGCGAAACCAGUUCCCGCUAUUCUUCUAGCGCGUGUAUUAUCACAGGUCUUGCGCAACAUCUUCUUUUCUAAUUGCGUAUCAUCUGUUACUUCUCCGUGUUGAAGAGCCCUCUACCUCUGGUCGAUCUAGAGUUAAUUGAUAUCUUUGUUUGUGAGACUGUGGUUCAAAUGUUUCAGUCUUGCAACAUUUCGUAGUGAACGCUCCUUGUCGCGAAAGACAAUGUCUCGUUAAUAUUCGAUAUGGAUUUGCACAGAUGUGAAGUUCCGGUUGACUGCACUUCGGGGAAGAGGCAUGCCGGAUUCUUACUCUUGGUCAUACAAAAGGUAGCUCAAUCAGUCUCAUGUGAGGCUUCCCUGAAAGCAGUCAAAAGUAACACUGUAAUCUGUAUGCUGAUGAAGGUUUCCUUUUACUUGCUUACCUUCGCAGCAUAGAUGCAUCUAAAUUUAACGAGUAGAAAUGCUGUUGGAAAUUGCAAUAUUGGAAAUAUUACUUGGUUGUGAAGUGAGAUAGCAGCCAUUGUUUGUGUGCAGGAGCUACAAAGGAACUUUUAUCUGGUGCGAUGUCUUUGACGGUGACGAUAUUCUCCCGCUUAGUGAAAGUGGCGAAUAUGUUCUUAAAGCUUUGGAAGUUAUGGAUUCUUCAGAAGGUAAUUCUCAGUAACGCAAAACAAUGCAUGUGACGAAGCUUUACUGCCAACUCCCCCACUCGCUAGAAGAUUGUUCGAAAUAGGUUAAGUUGUUUUCUUAGAAGAGCUCUUGCAGCAAUCAAUGAAGAUUCACUAUACACGUAGUUCAUUCUUGCUCGCAGAUGCCUGUGACCGAGGAGUAGAACACCUUGGCCAAGAGGUAGCGAGGGUGUUGCCAACAAAUCGUAACGGAACUUCGGCAAAUUUCAAUGAAGUGCACAGUAUCGACGACGUUCGCAGAGUAGCUCCCAACAAGUGUGUGGAAGUGAAACGACAGUUCAUGGGAGGCUCUGUUCACAAUAACAUGACUGGAAAGGCAAAUCGCAAUGAACAAGGAGAUGCUUACGGAACCACCUCGCGAGUACCUGACCCUGAGAAUUGUAUUGAGAAUAAGAGGUGCCUAGAAAGUAUGACGGGAAGUGACUCGUCAAGAAGCAACAUUUCAACAGACGAAUCCUACGGAUUGUCCUUUGAAAGGGAUCUGAAGAUGGAUAUGAAGGAGAUGCCGGCUUGCCCAGCGACACGGUCAACUGACCAUGGUGGAAUGUCUUCACUUGCACCACGAUCAUCACGGUUGUCUAGAAGAGAAUACGUAAAAUGUAAAACAUGGGCAGUGAAGGAAGAUGAAAAUGCUGCUCUAAACCAUGGCAGGUUGUCACGAAGGUCUAGCGACACACUUCGUGAUAGCAAUUCCGUGGGAAAUACAGUAGAUAUACCAUCUAGUCCGGUGACGCGACCUUGUUUUCCAGGGGAUCCACUCAUCUUUAUGCUGAAGAAAGCUACCAAGUUCCAUCGCUCUCAGCUGUGCAGGAAAGCAGAAGUUGAAGGAUCCCCAUGUGCAACAGUAGGGAAACCUAGCUCUUCUCGACACACAUCCAAAAUCAGACAUGGUUCAGGGCCGUUGAAGGCUUACCACGGUCCUCACUCAAGUAAAUCUGCGACUCAGAAUUCAAGGCCAGUGACGUAUGAGACAUCUGCCAAGGAAUCCGAGAGAGAUAUCAGAAGUCUCUGUCAAUUCCUGGGGGCUUCCAAUGUUGGAUCCGUCUCCCAGACGAUCAAUAAGGAGGGCACCAAGAAAACAGGAUCGGCUCGACACAUCCAAGCGGGUAGUAAUGAUGAUUUCGACUUUGCUCGGCACAAAGAAGUGGCAGUAGAUAUCUCUGAAAAAUUAUUGCUACCAGAACAAGUCACAGGGAGGUAUGAGAAGCCCAGCAGGAUGUCCAAGCAAUUAAUUAACAAACUGGAUUCAAAAUCACUGAAUAUGGUUACCAGACCAGCUGUCCGGCUGUCUUCCAAGCUUGGCUCUGGACAGGCUUCCGAAUCGUUCAGUCCAGCAUCUCCACAUGCCCCUCAGCGCCCCAUAGUUUCCAGACCCCAAGAGAAAGCCGUAAAUCAAUUAUCCCUCGUUGCAGGAUUUGAAGACCCACAGAUCACAAGCAGCGAUACCUCCAAUGCCGGGUAUGGGCACACCUUGAUUUCUGCCAAACUAACCCCCAUCAAUCUUGUUCUAAAUGUUACUGAAUUAUUUUAAGUGAGAGAAAAAUCAAAACUGUGAGGAAUAAAAUAUAAACACAGUCCUGGGGAUGUUGCGUGAAUUUGCGAAUUGUUUGAUCAUUGCUGGGUAAUAAUUCGUUGCGUUCGCUAUGUAGUUUAUCUUGUACUUCGAAGGCAUCAGGCCUGAAAGCGGUCAAACUCCCCAGAAAUGCGAGCAACAACUGUUACUUCAGUCUAACUAUUCCAGAUUUAGAGAAAAGAGCAGCGGACACAAAAGUCUAUCCAUGGCGGGAGAAUUCUGCAUUCAACUCUAUCGAAUUGUACAGCGGUACCUUGCAGAAGGUGGAUUUGGUAAGUCCAUAUCUCAAGCUUCAGGCGAACUCCACGACUGAAACAAAAGAACCUGCGAAACCAAAGAAUUCGCCGUCAAAGCAUGGAGACUUCGAUGAUAAAGAAGAGAGGUUCACAAUGGGUUUUCCUUCAUUUGAUUACAUUCAGUAUUCUCACAGGGGACGUGGAUUGCAGGGAUGACAUCUUCUAGAGAUAUACACAUUCAGAGGCCUCUUUUUGAUAUGAUCGCAUACAGUUGAUUUUGUAAGUAACUCAAGGAAACGUUCACUGCAGGCCAUUAACACCAGCUUCAACGGAGCGACAUUGGGAGAACUUGCUUCAGGAGGCUGUUAGUUGUUCACAGUCAAUCUCCAAAGGAUUUGAUACUGCAUGAAUGCUCGUAAGUGCCUCAUUCAAGGUUUCAGUAAUCUCUCCUCACCAUCUUCAUCGACCAUAAUGUACUUCUACCCUUCCGUUGACUAUUUCAAAUGAUAAUAUCUCCCCAGUUCUUGAAAUCAGUUCCCGCAGUGUGAAUACAGUGGAGUUGGGUUAAGUCUGUCACGAAAUCUCUCGGUGAUAAGGUUGAUUCCUUUUCCUAACCCCUCCCUAAAUAGCAGCAGACGGUCACUGUCACACGUGUAAUAUUCGGUCAAUAAUGAACCCUUCUUUCCCGAGAACAUUAGUGCGAAUAUUUGCCCUCAUUGGUGCUGCUUGUCCACCGCUACGUCGAUUAAACGGUAACCCUAACAUCGUCCGGUGUGGUAUAUGUUGAUGCAGUCCGCUCGGGCGCACAUUCAAAACCAUUAAGUCAACAUGCCCAGCUGUCGCGUCAUGAACACGCUUGCAGCAUUGAUUGACGUGGGUAGGAAAAGCCCUACCAAUCUGACCGUUUUUACAACUCAUGGCGGCUGUAGCAUCGUAUGGUAGGUGACAAGAAUGGGGCCAGUACGUCAGAAUGCUUGGUUUCUCUCUAUUUUUAUUUUUACUUUGAUGCAGACCAUUGCAGCGAAUCUGUCUGAGAUUUUCAAAGAAGGGUUUGAUGUAACAAACAUAAGGCUCGAAAUACCCAUCAGAGAGUACUGGAAUCCAGUAAUAAAAAAUAAAAAAAAAAAAAAAAAAAAACCCUGCGGCAGCUACUUGUUACAUUUCAAUGGGACAUGAAUAGUGUACUUUAUUAAAAAUUCACAGUGGCUACUCUGUAUUCAUCCAUUUAAUGUUCCUUAAAAUGCUUCCAAUAUACGCAAUGAUUUAACGCAAAAAUGUGCAAAUCCAAACCAGGGAAUAUGCGGUUGGCAACCUCAUUGUAACUUUUCAAAUUGAUGAUGAAUAUCGAGCUGUUAGAAUUGCAAUACCAACUACUUGCCAAACUUGCAGUUAAUACUGUGAAAAUUUUAAAUUUACACGAUAAUGGAUUAAUGAAACUGUAUCCGCCCAUGUUGCAUGGUAAAUCACUGUGCAUUUACACAGAGUAGAAGAAACAAACAUGAUCCACUCAUUUUCAUUACGCCAGUGCCGUUUUGACGUCAGACUUGGAAAUGAUUUCUCCCCGCACCCUACUCGACAGAGAAGGAGGGACAUUGAAACGUUUCCCGUCGCCCUUCCACAAAGCAGGCAGCUUCCAAAUCCCAACCAACUUCCCAUCUUGAUUUAUCCCAUUCACUCCUUCGGAAAUAAAAUAUUCGGGCAUCGAAAAGUUGAAAGGAUUAGUGAACACGUUGAUAGGAUAAGCGUCGCCAAAUUUGAUGUCCCUAUUGAUGGCAUUGUCGUCCUGUACAAAUCCUCGCCCCGUCUCAGUGUGCCAGUUCGUCACCAAGUAUUUUGCACCUGACGCUUCGAGGUUGACAAAACCGCGCACUCCAUCCUUGAGGCUGUUAUGCUGGAUCCCGUCACGGCAGAUGAUGAGGUCCGGGUUUACCGUAAUGGGCGUGUUCACAAAAUCCACCCUAGCGAAGUCUACAUUAGGGAAGUCUUUGAACCUCUCCGUGUUCUUUUGAAUGAUUUGGGGGACAAUGUCGUACCCAGUAUACCUUGUGGAAUUAAAACCCUCGAUUAAAGGUUGCCAGUUGACGUCUGCAUAAAUCGAAGGAAAAGUAGGAUUAAUGGUUUACACUUGAGAUACUAUGCGCGGUCUGUUUACAGCGGCUAGUAGAUAGUAAAGCGGCAGUUAGAACGCAUCUUACCUCCACAAGGUGCGUCAAGUACGUGCUGAACACGAUAAUCCUUUAGAGCGUGCGCAACCAGCAACCUAACAUUCCCCGUGUAAUCAAUCCUGCUACCAGGACCUGAGCGAGACUCGCCUCCACCCCAAAAGUCGGUGGUGAAAAUUUUCUCGAAAGCUUUCGACCUCUCCUCUGUUUCCAGCGAUUGGAUCACUCUCUCUGCUUCUGCUUGCCUAGCAUUUCUCUCACUUUUACAAUCACACGCUUUGACAGGAAAUUGAACUGGAUCACUACGUUGAAACUUCUUUGCCUGGAGGUGCCGAUCUGUUAAGGGGCGACUCCCUUCUGAAGUAAAGGUGGACAGGAAUGACAGAAGUGGGAAGAAGACCGUCACUAACACUACAAGAACGACGCAGACACGUUUUGCUUGACAUCGAGGCCGGCUGAUCCUCGCCAUAGCACUGACAGGCACUCUGCACGGCCGUCACAGAAAGUUGGUCCAGCAACUCGACAAAAUUUAUUUUUGGAAAAAAAAAAAAAAAAAAAAAAAAAACUGUAUUAUAAUGGCUCCACACAAAGCAUCAGCUCAACUCAUCAUAGCUGAGCCAGAAUCGGUGAAAAAGGGCAGUGGCAGCGCAUCUUCUAAAACUCCCAUGUUCCACCCGCAAAGACGGCACCGUUCUCACAAAUCACAAGUCAUGGUCAACGCGCCAUCUCACAUGGAAGCAACUAAAACCUCCAUUUUCGAACAACACCUCAAAACCACUACGAGUCCAUCAACCGCACGCACCACCAAUCCCAAAGUUCAGAAACCCGCGUCGCAUUCCACCAUGUCCUCAGCUCCCUGCCCCUUGAUCUCGCAAAGCCACAGAGCCUAUUCACACACUACUCCAAGCUAAUCAACAACAGCGUUCCAACCUCCAGAAACCUUAACCCCUCACCAAAGCUCACUGGCGACAAUCUCAGAUCCAGACAGAAAUAUCCCGAUCCCGAGUCACGUGGAAAGUGAAGCAAGCUCUCAGAUCAGCGAUGGACGCAGCCUUGCGUACCGAUAACCCACAAAGAGCGAGGGAGCGCGAAGGAAGCGGUGGCCGGGGGCAAACACUCGCUGAAUCGUGUGGCAUAAACCACUUUCUUCAAUCGACUGUCUUGAGACAUCUGGGCCGUCAGAUUUCCAUGUUGAAUCCUGACCGUUACAGGAUUUAUUGGGAACGCCUGGAGGGAACGGAAGGGAAUCAGGGGGCGUGCGGGUUGGAGGGCGUGAGGUUGGAAACUCAGAACCCAUUCCUGAUUGGGCCCGCACGGAUCCAUGUUCUACUCCCUCACUGGGCCCACUUUGAUCCGCAUUCACAUGGGUGCGGAAGUUUGUUCAGGUCUCUGUGCCAUGAAUGAUCAAAGAAUCAGUUACUCUGCUGGUCGCAGAACUCGGAGAAAUUGAUUACUACAUAUUGCAUACAAAAGCAGUUCAAAAAUAAAACACCAACUAUCACAAUGUGAAGGUCCUCCAGGUGAAUGAAGACAUUGAAGUAUCAACGAACGACGAAGGAAUCUCUCCAACUAACAGAUUUUUGCUGAAAUUUCUGCUCAAUGCCAGGUAUACAAUUCAGCAGCUUCCACAGCACAUGAUGAAACUUUGCGUCUACAAAAUCGCAAACAAUGCUAUCUUGCGCGUGGCCCUCCGCCUUAGACCCUAAACCACAACAACUACACUAGAAGCACAAUCCCGAUUUUCAACCUUCAAAAUAAUUUUUUUGUUGCCAUACACAACGGCAAUCAUACAUGUACAUGAUAUAUUUUUUUCCAGGAAGAAUCUUUUCAACUUAAAAAAUUUACUCAUUAAUUUUUUCUCAAACGCAGAUAUUUUAUAUAAAAAAAAAGGUUUAUCAUUGAUUAUUUCUUUUUAUAAGAAAUAAAAUAUAGAUUGGCUACAUUUUAGUUCAUUUUAUUUUUUAUUGAAUAUUUAAAUUACACAUAGUUUAUUAAUAAUAUUGUAAAAUUUCUCUUCAAAAUAUUUUGCAAAUCAUAAAACAUUUUUUACAACCAUUAUGUAUCUAAAUAGUUUUACAACUAAAACAAGUACAAUAAUCAUAAUAGUGUUGUCAUAAAAACCACCACUAAAAUGAGUCUUUAUUAUAUAUAAUGAUAAAUACUACAUAUGAAAUAUCAUCAAAUCAAAUCAAAUCCUUAUAAAAAGUACCAAAUUUUGCAUCUAUAUUUUUAAUAAAAAUCUAAAUCCUUGAAGAAUAAUUCUACAUCUUAGUCAAUAUUGCAUCCUUCUUUAUCUAAUGCAAUACUAUUAUCUUCUUUAUCUUCUUUUAUUUUCUUAUCAUGUAUUGGUAAUUUUUGCAUUCAAUUUUGAUAACUCUAAUAGAGAAUAUGUUUAAAUCUUUACACUUAAGAUAUAUUUUUUUUACAUAGCUUAGGUAGUCUCACUUGUAUAUGCUUUUCCUAAACAACUUCUUAUCUUUGUCAUAAAACUUUGAGUCCACCAAGUUUUGGUGCUAUUAGAUUCUUUCUAUUAUAUUUAUUAUUAUUAUUAUUAUUAUUUUUUGGCUUCUAAAUCCAAGUCUAAUAUUUUUAGCAUGAGCUUGUAUAGGGAUGAUACUACCACCUUCUCUUAGCAUAGAGAUUUGUAGAAAUCUUAGUAAUAAGUCUUUUGUACCUUAAAAGUAUCAAGAUUAAUUAUAUUGCUUUAUUAAAAGCCUCAUAUUGUUCUAUGAUUAAGGCCUCGAUCUUGUUUGAUAUCAUCAAACUAGUUAUUUCAAAUAAUUUGAGGACUUGAAUAACAUGCCUAGGAAUUUGAAUUCUAUUAUUUCUUCCAUUGCUUGGACUAUCAUUUGGUUCAAUACUUGGACUAUUACAUGGAACAUCAUCAAAAACAUCUUAUUUUUAGUUGAAGAAGCUAUUGUCUUUGUAUGCUUUUAGUAAUAAAUCCAACAAAUGUGGAUAUUCUUCAUUAACAAUCCAUCUUAUAAUCUAAAUGUAUUUACAUAUAAAACCAUAAUCAUUGCAUUUACACCAUUUGUGAGAUAAACUGAUAAUAUACCAUUUUGUUAGAAUAUCCUAGCUUUGAAAGGCAAAAUCCAUGCAUCAUAUAUCAAGAACUUCAAAAUUUGACAAUUGGUCUUAUUUGUAAUAUUUAACCAAUCACCUAGUUCUUUACAAUCUUAAUGUUUGUUAUUUGUUUCCUCCUCUUAAUUUAUUUUUUAUUUAUUUUUUAUUUAUUAAAUAUAUGGACAUCAUUGUAGUAUUGUACCAAAGUAAUUCUUCUAAAACAAUAUCAUGUAUAUGGCUUGCUUAUCAAUGCAAUGAUGAGUUCAUAAAGUUGUCAAUUUAUUUUUUCAUUUAAAAGGAUAUAUUUCAUAUAUUCUCACGUGUAUUCUACAAGAUUAGUUAUAUUGGCAUGUCCAUGGUGAUAUAACCUAGAUUAUUUUGGCUACAUCAACUUUCAUUGGUAAUUGUGCCUUGCCCAACCAUUCUCUACAUAUUUAACUAUUUUUUUUAUUUUUUUAUAUUUUCAGCCUAUGUAAUUUUAUAUCUGCUAUACUCAAUGUCAAUUUUUUUUCCACUAUUAACUUCUAUUAUAGAUCUUAUUGUCUUUCAUAAAUCAAAACACUCAAUUUUAAGUAAUUAAAGCAAUAAUUAUUCAAUCUAUGUUUUUUUUGUAUGGAAUCAAUACAAAAUUAUAUGAGACUUUACUUGAAUUCCACCAUUUUUUUUUAUUUUUCUAACACAAAAGGCUUCUUUAAUGGCUUUCAUUAAAGCCUUAUAUUCUAUACUAAUUUUAUCAAUUAUUAUUGCUUUUGAUCAAAUUAUAUUCAUAUUUUAAAACAUGAUAUAUAUUGUAAGAUAUAAUGCCAUUUGCUCUUAAUUAAUAUCAUUAUAAAUACUACAAAAUAUCAAAAAAAUUACCAUCUCUAAUCCCAUUAUAUUAAGGUACAUUCUAGCAUACAAUGGCAUAUUCUAUUAAUUGGACUUAAACAUUGAGUCCACAAUCCAUGCCAAACUUGUUGUAAUAUCUUUUGUUCUUUCAAGCAUAUUUUUUAUUUGCAUCAAUAAUACAAAUGAUAGCUCUUCUAUUAUUAGAUUUUUUGAAUCAUAAGCUUAGUAGAAAAUUAUUUCUUUAUUUUCUAUCUAUUUAAGAACCAUUUUUCUUACCACUUCAUAGUUUUUUUUAUUGCAUCUUUUUUUUAUUUGAAGAUGAUAUGAUAGGUUUGAUAUUUCUUUUGGAUCUAAAAAAAAUAAAAUAUUCAUUGUUCAUGCAAUAGAAUUUACUUUUUUUAAUUUUUUUCUUCACAUCUCUUGAAAUAUUCUAAAAUAAAUUUUAUGAUAUUAAGAUUAUUUAACAUCUUAGCACAAUUAUUAAUUAUAUUUUGAUGAAUAGGUUAAAAAUAAGAAUCUUUUUAUGAUCUAGGAUUAUGGCCAUUAUGACUUGAAUUGAUAUACACUUCAAUAUGUUGUCCUUCAUCCUUUGGAUAUAAUAAUUUCAUAAAAAAUUUAUAUCUUUCAUAUCUUUUAGGCAACCACUAUUUAAAUUUUUCAAUAUUGUUGAUUAAAUUAAUAUCCUCACAACAAAACUUUUAUCUUUGAUGGCACACAAAGAUUGUCAUCUUUGGAGAAUAAGGUGUCUUUCUUUGAUAUUGAUGGAUUAGCUUCAAUAUCUUUAUAUGUUUGGUCUUUAAAUUAUUUAUAAAUAUUUUUUCUUAGAUGCAAUCAAAUAUAUGAUGUUAUGUAUAUUGUAUCAAGGAUAUGAAUCUCAAAGAAAAAAAAAAUCCUUAAUAUAGUCUUGUGUCACUAAAAGGAACUAAAAAGCCACUUAAAGAUGAUAUAAUAUUAAACUAGAAUGGCUAUUACUAAAAAAAAGAAAACCAAAUAAUCUUGAAACAAGACUAAAGACUAGAAAGAUGUUAACAAGAGUGAAGAAGGCUUCACUCUUACCUCCAUAUAUAUUCUUAAUUAGGAGCUAUAUGGUGAUGUCCUAUUGAAUAUUCAAAACAUGUUGACUUUGUAAGAUACAAAACUUAGCUUGCAAGACAAAUUUUUUAUAUGUGCACCACAUAGUUAGCUUCUUCUACAAGUUACCUGUCAAGAACAUGAAUUAGAAGAUGCAUAAACUUAAAAAUUUUGUAUCAAAAGAAAAGUGAAAAAAUAGAAAUAAAUUAUUAUGUAUACUAAAAGAAAAUUAAAAUGACUAUUGUCAAAAGACAAAGAAACUAGAGAUCCUUAAACCUAUACUAGAAAUAAGAAAGGAGUUGACAAGAGUGAAGAUGACUUUACUCUUGCCUCUAUAUAUACUAUCUAAUUAGGAGCUAUAUGGCAAUGUUCUAUAGUAUUUCUAAUAUGUGUUGACUUUGUAAGAUACAUGCCUUAGCUUACAAGACAACUUUUAUGUAUUUGGGCCACAUAAUUAGCUUGUUUUUCAAGCUACCAACAUGUGUGGCACAUGUCCAACUUAUUCACCACUUUUUUAAUCUAAAAAGUCAAUUAUAGAUACUUAUAAAAUCAAAGCAACAUCUAUGAAGCUUCUAAAAAGCUUCUAUAUAAGAUAUUAUGGAAUUAACCUACUUUACUUACUUUUAUGUAAUCAUAUAGAUAAUUAUUGGUUUAUACAUGCAUAUCCGUAAGACUAUCAAUAUGUGGUUAACUUGUUGAGUAAGUUUCUAACCUACCAAUCAACUAAUAAUACAAAUAAAAUCAAAGCAGUAUCUAUGAAGCUUCUAAAAAGCUUCUUUAGAAGGUAUUAUGAAAUUAACAUACUUUUAUUUAAUUUUACUUACUUCUAUCUAAUUAUAUAGAUAUUUAGUAGAAUAUCUAUGUAUAUUUGUGAUAUUAUCUCUUCUUCUAAGAACAAAUUCUACAAGAAGUGAUCAUCAUAUAUUAAUAAAAUCCAAGGUGCGACAAAUUAUAUUUGCGACAUACUUUGAUCUUUGAUCUUUUCAAAGAUAGUUGAUAGGUUAUAUCAACUAUCGAUAGUGUUUUAUACCAAGGCAAGAAAACCACCUUGUUAUUUAGUCAUUGUUGAGGCCUUUAUAACUUUGUUCAAAUAAAAUAUUUGAAAAACUAUUAGGAAUUCUUCCUACUUCUCAUAAUAUCACCAAACAUCAAAAGUCUCUUUCAAGGUCGUGAUACCAAACACAUUAUAUCUUGCUAUUUAUUUGAGGAAGGGCAUGUUGUUCUUAAAGAUCUUCAUUUCAAUUACAUUGCCUUAAAGAUUGUAACAAUUACAAUGUCUUAUUUGUUAAGUUGUAAAUAAAAGUUCUUGAGUUGAAUCUGUUGGUUAUUGGUUCUCUAUCUCCUUAGCAUCAUAAAUACAUAGAAGUUACAAAAAAGAAUAGGAGAUAGAGUAUUAUCUUCGUUUGAAUUUGUUUAUUUUUUAACAAAUUUUUUCAUUUUUAAGAUUCUUUGCUCAUUCUUAUGUGUUUUCACUAAUAUCAUAUCCAUGCUAAUGAAUAAGAGAUUCCAAACUAUUUUAGAACUACUUUAAAUCUAAGACUUCUUUUACUUAAAACUCUUGAUUAUUAUCCACUUCUAUAGGAGGAGGUGUCAUUUUUCUUCUUCUUGAGAUAUUCACUGUCUUAUAUGGCUCAAGAAGAGACACAUGAAAUAUGAGAUUGAUCUUCAUAGACUCCAAAAGAUAUAAUUGAUUAAAAAUAAGAUUGACUUGUUUACUAAUAGGAAAAAGUCCAAGCUUAUGAUAGUCCAACUUGACACAAGAAUGAAUAGUCUUGAUAUUGUGAUAAAAUAAUUAUAUCUUUUCAUCUAUGUUGAAUUGUGGUUGUUCUUUGCAAUAGGCAUGUGCAUUAAUUUUUUGUUGUUUUUGAGCUCCUUUUAACUAUGCCUUCAUUGUUAUAUGCAACUCUUACAAACAAUUUGCAAAAUCUUCUACUACAAGUUUAUCAACUUUCGAAAAGUCAAAAAUAUCAAAUCAUGGAUGAUAAUCAUAAUUGACAAAGAAAAGUGUUUGUUAAGUGGAAGAAUGCACCAAAUCAUUGUAUGCAAACUCCACCAGUGAUAAAAGAGUUGUUCAAUUAUUGUAAUAAUAGUUGAUGGUAUACCUCAAGUAUUUCUCUAAAACUUGAAUUACAUGUUCUAUUUAUCCAUCAAUUUGAGGAUAAAAAGUCAAAGAGAGCUUUAUAUCUAAUUUUAAAAUCUUGAUAUAAAUUAAGUUUUUUGAUUCAAUAUAAUAUCUUUAGGCAAUCUAUAAUAGCUAUAGAUGUUGUUUAAAAAAAGUUUAGCCAUUUCUUCACCUAUGAUAGAUUUUAUAUAUAGUAUAAAAUAUGUCAUCUUGAUAAAAUAAUCUAUUACUACAAAUAUAAAAUCAUACAAACUUGAGACUGAAAGAUCCAUGAUAAAAUCCAUAGAAGCAGAAGACCAUGGUUGUUUUAAAAUAAGUAAUGGAUGAAGAAGUCUAUAAUGUUGAUAGUUAGGAGUUUUGGAUCUUGAACAAAUAUCAUAUGAUUGUACAAAGUCUUUAACUACCUUUUAUAUUUGAAACCACCAAAAAUCUCUCGAUAUUAGCUUCAAAGUCUUAUUGUAUUUAAAGUAUUUAGCUAUUGGAAAGUUGUGACGAGUUUGAAGAAUACAUAAUUUAAUCCACCUUUUGGAAUGUAUAAUCUUCCUUUAAAAUAGAGUAAGUUGUUCUUGAACUCAAACUUAGAAGUAUUAUGAGCCUUAAAAGAAUUAUAUUUGAUAUCAUAGAGAAGAAGAUCAGAGGACAUACUUGAUUGAAUUUGCUUGAUAAAUGUUGAAUCAACAAUUAAUGUUGAUUUUUUUGCUUGAAGGUGAAAAUAUUUUGGCUUAAAAAUAAUAGUUAUUUGUUGAUCAAAAGAUGCAUCUCCUUCUUUUGGUGUAAGAUAAGAACAUCUAAAAAGGGCAUCUGACAAAUCUUAUUAUUUUUUAGGUCAAUAAGUAAUCUAAAAAUCAAAUCUCGAUAAAGACAUACUCCAAUGAACUUAGUGAUGUUUUCAAAUACAUAUUGACAUGAAAUACUUGAGGUUCUUGUAAUCUAUAUAUAUGAUGAUUGGACUCAAGGUGUCUUCUAAAUAAUGACGCCAUUCUUGAAACGAAUCCACAAUUGUAAAUUUUUUUUUAUCAUGGAUCUCAUAAUUAGUCUAAAUUGCUGAAUAUUUUUUGGAAUGAAAAGCUACAAGAUGGGAUUUGUCAUUUGUUUCCAUUUAUGUUAAUAUUGCACUCAAAAAAAAGUUUGAUGUAUCUAUUUUCAUAAAAAAUACCUUAAAGAAGUCAAUACAAUAUAAGAUUAGUACAAAAAUAAAUUCCUUUUUGAAAGCAUCAAACAUUACUUUGGCUUCUUUAUUCCACUAAAAUUUAUCUUUAUAAGUCAAAUGUGUAAUUGGAGCUGCAACUUGAGAAAAAUAAUUUAUAAAGAUUUGAUAAUAAUUGGUAAAAUUCAAAAACCAUUGCAUGUUCUUUAUUGCUUUUAAAAUCUUGCAAUCUAUAAUAGUCUGGACCUUCUUUGGAUCCAUAAUUAGUCCUUCAUUGGGAAUGAUGUAUCCUAGGAAGUCAACUUGAGUAGUAUAGAAUAUACACUUUUCUAACUUUGUAUAUAAUCCUACAUCUCUAAGUUUUUGUAACAGACAAGAAAUGUGAAUUUCAUGCUCUUCUAUGUUCUUAGAAUAGAUUAAGAUGUUGUUUAUAUAAUAGAGGGCAAAAUCAUCAAAAAACUCUUAAAAGACAUCAUUUAUUAGAUGUUAAAAAAUAGUUGGUACAUUCAAGACUUCAAAAGGCAUGACAUUAUAUUCAAAAUGUCCAUACCUAAUUUUAAAUAUAGCUUUUCAUUUAUCUCUUUUUUUAAUGCUUAUCAAAUUAUAUAUUACUUAUAAAAUUAUUUUUAGAUAAAUCUUUCCUUGAUUCAAUUAAUCAAGAAGUCUUAAAAUCAAAGAUAGAGGAUACUUAUUCUUGAUGGUGAUGUUAUUGAGUCCUUCAUAGUCUACACACAUCCACAAAGAUCCAUCUUUUUUUUUUACAAAUAAGAUAGGAGCCUCAACUCGACAUUUAAAAUGAUGUAUGAAAUUCUUAGCUAAGUUGUCAUCAAUAUACUCAUUGAGUGCAACCAACUCGUUUUAUGAUAGGCUAUAGAUUGAUCCAAAUAGUGGUUGAGUUCUUUCGUGAAGAUUGAUGGAAUAAUCAUAAAGAUGAUGCUUUGAAAAGAUAUCUUCAUUCUCUUUUUCAAUAAUGUCUUAGAAAUCUUGAUACUCGCUAAGAAUACUAUUUGACAUCUUCUUGCCAUUAGAAAUGGAUAUGGCUUUAUAAAACAAAAGAUAACCUUUCUUUUGCAGCAUACUUAAAAAGCUCUCGCAUCUACUAGUAAUGAUUUAGAUGUAUUAGACUUAUGUAUUUUUACUUAACUAAUGGAAUUUAAAUUAAAUUAUCAAAAGAUUUAAAUUACAAAAAAAUCUAAUCUAUUUGAGGAUAAUACUUUUCUAAUAAAGAUAAUUCUAAAAUAAUUAGAUUGGAUGGAGAUCUUAUUACAUUAAAUAUUUCUAUACUAUUAUGAUCUUUAAUUGCUACAUCUAAAAGAAUAGUUUCAUGCAUAACAUCUCUAGAAAAUAUCAAAUCACCAUCCAAUUUUUUCAUGGUCUAUAAGAAAUUUAAAAUGUAUCAUAUUAAUUUAUAUUGAUUUUGGCUUCUAUGAAUAAGUUUUUAAAAACUUUGGAGUUUCCAUUGUCAAUAUUAUAUAUUAUCUUAUUUAAGAAUGCAUUGGACACCUAGCUGUUAAGGACAUAGUCCUUAGAACCUUCUAGAGACAAGUUUCUAGAACCUUCUAGAGACAAGCUUCUAGAACCUUCUAGAAGUAAGUCUCUGGAACCUUCUAGAAGCUUCUUAAUUGGUAGAAGAUGUUAGGGACAUAGUCCUUAGAACCUUCUAGAGAUAAGUUUCUAAAACCUUUUAGAAAUAAGUCUCUGAAACCUUCUAGAAGCUUCCUAGUUGGUAGAAGUUGCUUGAGAAGCUUCCUAAAUAGGAGUAUAUAUUGGGAUCGAGGCUGAAGAAUUCUUCAGUCUCGAAAACACAUCUCUUGGAGCUCUAGCUCACCUCUCUAGUGUUGUUCUUGUAUUCAUCUGAUUAAUCUAGGUCUUACCAGUUCUUCUUGAACUUCUUGGUAGAUAUCAAGUCUGUAUUUUGUGUCCGUGACAGUUUGUCGAGAUUUCACUCACCUCAGAUAUCAGAGUUAGUUUCUUCUUUGUUAGAGUAGGGAUUACCGCUUUGCUUGGAAGUGUACUAGCACUUUAGAGGUUGCGGAUUACCCUCCUCUAAACUGAUACUUCUUUUGUUACAAUAUUGGAGUCUUAUUCUUCUUGGAGAGAGUGGAUUACCCCUUUUUUUUGAAGCUCUUAAGGCAUUUUAGAGGUUGCGGAGUACCCUCCUCUAAACCAAUAUUGUCUUUUUGUAGAGUCAUUUCUGUCCUUCUCUUAGAAUGGUCGGGGGCCAAGACAUUAGUAUGACGGAAAGUUCAGAGUCCAAGUUAGAUGCUAUCAUGAAUGCCCUCGCUACGUUAUCACCAAGAACUGCAGAGAUUGAAGGAGUCGUGGCAAGGCUUCAUAAUGAUGGAGCAUUUGGGAUGGCAAAAUCUAGGUUGCACCAGCCUCAAACUUCUACACUUGGAGAAGUAACUUUGCCUCAGGUUCGACAAGCACCGCUAGUUCUACAACAUAAGGAACCCCGAGUUAGCCUUCCGGACAAGUUCGAUGGUACGCGUUCCAAGUUUCGAGGAUUCGUCAACCAAAUCAGGUUGAUAAUAGUUUUACAGCCUGAACGCUAUCCAACGGAGGAGUCACGUGUUGGGCUUGUUGGAACCUUACUUACAGGACAAGUUCUAUCAUGAUUUGCUCCUUUGUUUGAGAAAUGAUCGUCCAUACUAAACAACUUUGAAACCUUUUUGGAGGCAUUUGCGGAAGCAUUUGGUGAACACGACAAGGUUCGAUGGACUACAACAAAGAUCCGAUCACUACGACAAGGGAUGCGUUCUACAUCAGUCUAUGCAUCGGACUUCAGGCAAUUAGCAUGCGACAUCAAUUAGAACGAAGAAGCGUUGAUGAGUCAAUUCUAUUGGAGUUUAAGGGACGAUGUGAAGGAUUUGUUGUUAACUCUUCCUAAUCCGUAAACGCUCAACGAAGCUAUUAGCCAAGCUGUGAAGUGCGAUAACCACCUAUUCCAACGUCGCCAAGACCAACGUUCAAGACAACAUACGGUUCGCCACACCCCAACUAUGUCGGCAAGCAGCGUGAAUUCACAUUUAGAGGUAGAAGAUAUGUAAAUUGAUGCGGUACGUGUCAAAUCUCUUACUCUAGAAGAAAAAAAGCGGCGUAUGGAGGAAGGUCUAUGCUUGUAUAGCGGUGAAGAAGGCCACAAAGUUGGAAAUUGCCCCAAGAAGCAAAAUCGACUUAUUAUCAAGACUAUGAGUGCGUUAAUUCAGGAAAACGAGGAUGCCCAGUCACAAUAGGAACCGUGCGACUGGACAGUGAAAUAUCACAACAACAACCAGGUUCCUUUCUUUCCGUUCAACCUGUCCUUUGUUUUACAAUCCUUUUGCUUAUUGGCCAUCAGAAACUUAGAACCUUAGCAUUAUUAGAUUCAGGAGCAUCUGCUUGUUUUUUAGACGAAGAAUUUGCAAAGCAUCAUAAGAUCCCUUUAGUACUAAAAUCCAAACCUGUUCACGUUGAGGUCAUAGAUGGACGACCUUUAUUGUCUGGUAGUGUCACCCAUGAAUCAGAACCUAUAGAAGUGACGUUUAAGGACCAUAGUAGUCAUAUUAUUUUCAAUAUUAUUAGAACCCCAUCUAAUCCUGUUAUUCUUGGUCUUUCAUGGUUAGAAAAGCAUAAUCCAUCUAUAGAUUGGAAGUUGCUGAAGAUGACCUUUCUCACAAAACCACCUAAGAGCAAGCUUAGUAGAAAACCUUGAAUAGAGAAAUCCUUAUUUAUUGGAGUAAGAGCAUUUAUAAGAUUGUCCAAGGGAGGCACACCGUUUGUCAUUUAUGCGGCUCCAACUACCGGGGAGAAGAUCUCGACAGCAAGUAUUCCGGAGCAAUAUAAGGAUUUUAAAGACGUGUUUCAAAAGAAAAAUGUUGACAUGCUACCGGAACUAAGACCAUAUGAUUGCGCCAUAGACUUACAGGAAGGAACACAACCGCCUUUUGGCCCAAUCUACAAUCUAUCGUAGAUGGAGUUGGCAGAGUUGCGAAAGUACAUCGACGAGAAUCUAGCCAAGAACUUCAUCCGUCAUUCAAAAUCGUCAACUGUAGCACCCAUCUUAUUUGUGAAGAAGAAAGAUGGCUUGUUGCGGAUGUGCAUGGACUAUCGAGGCCUCAAAAAGGUAACAAAGAAGAAUCAUUACCCAUUACCCUUGAUUUCUGGUCUCUUAGAACAACUUGGACGUGCAAGGAUCUUUACAAAAAUUGAUCUAAGGGGAGCUUACAACCUCGUAUGAAUCAAGGAAGGAGAUGAGUGGAAGACAGCGUUCCGUACAAGGUAUGGCCAUUUUGAAUAUAAUGUCAUGCCCUUUGGUCUUACCAAUGCUCCAGCGGUCUUUCAACUUAUGAUGAAUGACAUUUUCCGAGAGUACCUUGACAAUUUUGUUGUCAUCUAUUUGGAUGAUAUUUUGAUAUUCUCCAAAAAUGAGGAAGUGCAUGAAAAACACGUUCGUUUGGUAUUGAAGAAACUACGCGAGCGGGGACUAUAUGCCAAGUUAGAGAAGUGUUUAUUUCACCAAAUAGUGAUGGAGUUUUGGGGUACAUUGCGACUAUGGAAGGCUUGAAGAUGGAUCACAAGAAGGUGGAAGCAAUCGUGUCCUGGGAGGUUUCGAAGACGGUUAGAGAUGUAUAAUGCUUUCUUGGUUUUGCCAACUUCUAUCGGAUCUUUAUGAAGAAUUACUCUCAAGUUGCUGCUCCUCUCACUCGGUUGACAUGCAAGGAUAAGCUGGAAUGGGGACCUCUAGCAGAGAAGGCGUUUCAAAACCUGAAGACCGCAUUUACUACGGCUCCAAUCUUGAUACAUCCAGACUUUACAAAGGCCUUCUAUUUAGAAACUGAUGCUUUGGAUUUUGCUUUGAGAGCUGUACUCUCACAAAUGGGAGAAGAUAAGAAGCUCCAUCCGGUUGCAUUCUAUUCUCGAAAGUUCUCUGCUGCUGAAAUCAAUUAUGAGAUCCACGAUAAGGGACUUCUUGCUAUAGUGGAUUCUUUCGAAGAAUGGCGUCACUUUCUUGAAGGAGCUGCACAUCCAGUAACCGUAUAUACGGAUCACAAGAAUUUGGAGUAUUUCAUGAUGGCUCGAGUUCAAAUCGACGUCAAGCUCGAUGGAGCAUGUUUCUAUCUAGGUUCGAUUUUAUUAUCACUUAUCGACUUGGAAAGCAGCAAGGACUAUCUGAUGCCUUAUUGAGGAGAUCGUAUCUUGUACCAAAGGCUGGAGAAGCAGUGUUUGAUCAACAAUGUACGACAUUGUUGAAGCCAGAGCAAUUUCAGCUUUGCGUUACUAUUAUGCCAAUUGAUGCUGACUUCUUGAAUCAGGUACGUGCCGUAACCAUUGAAGAUUUAGUAGCCAUUGAUAUUAAGAAGCGUGCCAAUGACGACAAGUUCAAGGUGGAGGGAGAUCUUUUAUACUUUGAAGAGCGGUUAUAUAUCCCAAAAGGAUCAGCACGACACCGAGUUCUUCAAUCUCGCCACGAUUUUCCAGCUGCGGGACAUUUUGGAUUCAACAAGACCUUGGAGCUUAUUUCUCGAGAUUUUUGGUAGCCCCAAAUGUGGAAGGAUGUGAAAGAUUUUGUCCUCUCUUGCAACAUCUAUUGAAGAUCCAAGAAUCCUCGACAUCGCCCUUAUGGACUCCUACAGCCAUUGCCGAUUCCACGUCGACCAUGGUCUUCAAUUUCCAUGGACUUCAUCACGGACCUGCCAUCAUCAAACUCAUUUGACAGCAUCUUUGUCAUGGUAGAUCGGCUUACAAAAUUGGCACACUUUGUCCCUUGCAAGAAGACAUCGUCCAGUGAAGUCACAACAAGGCUCUUUCUCGAUAAUGUGUAUCGAUAUCAUGGACUACCAGAUGAUAUCGUAUCAGAUCGAGGAACCCAGUUCGCAUCAAAGUUUUAGAGAUCUCUCUUUGAGAUACUGAAGGUGGAUAUCAAGCUUUCUUUGGCUUUUCAUCCUCAAACUGACGGUCAAACGGAACGGGUGAACCAAGUCUUGGAAUAAUACUUACGAUGCAGCAUCAACUAUGAGCAAGACGAUUGGACCACAUAUCUGCCGCUAGCCGAGUUUGCAUAUAACAACACCCUCCAUGUGUCGACUCAAUACACACCAUUCUUUUUCAACUAUGGGUAUCAUCCAAAGCUUGAUUUAUUGAGUCCAUCAACAAAUAACAAUCCAGCAGUUGAAGGAUUUGCGAAACAACUAUCAGAGCUUCAAAAUACGUUGAAGCUUCAAUUACAAUCCGCUCAAGAAUCCUACAAGGCGUCUGCAGAUAGAUUUCGGAAUCAAGCAGCUACUUUCAAAAUUAGAGAUAAAGCAUGGCUUCUUCGACGGAAUAUCAAGACCAAGCGACCAUGUGAUAAGUUGGACUAUCGAAGAUUGGGACCAUUUAUCAUCCAAAAGCAAAUCAAUCCAGUGGCGUACCGUUUGGAAUUACCGGCUUCUAUGAAGAUACAUCCAGUCCAAUUUUGCAUACAAUUGUUAAUGUAAUACCUUUGUAAGUUGGAUUCGGCUGAAAUUUUAAGAAAACUUCCAAAAACUACAUUGAUAUUACUUGGCCACCAACUUGAAAGGUGAAGCAAAAAUUCUAGUAGUCCUUUCUCUUUCUCCAACUAUUAACUUCAAUUUAAAUUUGGUAUAUAGCUUGAUCUUUAAGUCUUUCAAUACCAUGCCAAAUUUCACCUUGAUCCGAUUGGUAGAUUUUUAGAUAUCAUAGAAAUCCUAUCUGACCUCAAGCUGCCAACUUUUGAAACCCUCUUAUGCUAAAAACCAGAUAUAAUCCAAAUAGUAUCAAAUUUUGAACUGUAGAUAUUACACAAAAUGCACAAACUAGUAAAAAUUGCUAAUCCUAAUUAUAUUAUAUAAAAUCCAAAUCACCAAUACAAACCCUAAUUUUGAACAAUAAUUGCCAAAUAUUCCAAAAACUCUACAAAAAAAAUGCUUCUGCCUUUGAAAAGAAUUUGAAGCUACCUCUCAAAUUCUAAUCUUGGAACUUCAAAUGCAUCUCUAAUUUACCUUUGGCGGUCGUUUUUGUCACUAGAAGUUUAAUUUGGACCGUGUCUCACAACCGAUCAACCCUAGGGUAUCAUUAUAAUCUAUCCUAAGGAUUUUUUAGCCCAAUCCUAUCUUUAAUUUGAUCCUAAUAUCAACCAUAUCAACUAUUUAUCUUUUCUAUCCCAAUUUUAACAAUUAAUGGUCUUUCUAAGGUAGUUAAAGAGUUUUUCUAUCCUAGAAGAUAAAAAUAGUAACUAAUUUUUAUCUACUUGCUAUUAAGAUAAGAAAAUAGGCUAAGAGACUUUCAUAAAAGCCUUAUUAAAAUAUUUUGAAUUAUUUUUAAAAUAAUAUAAUAGAAUAUUAAUUUAAAAAUCAUUUUUAGUCAUAUUUUCAUGAUAUAAUCAUAUCACAACACGACACCAUUAUUAUUUGAUUUCUUCGCCUCUAACCAAAUCUGUGUUUUUGACAUCUUUCAAAUAAUUGAUUGUUGCUGUCACGGCCAUAAUCAUAUAGCUAAUAAUUACAUAUAGAAAUAGGUAGAAGUAAGUAAAAGUAGAUAAAAGUAAGUUAAUUGUAUAAUAUUUAAUAUAGAAGCUUCCUAGAAACUUCCUAGACACUGCUUUGACUUCAUAAGUGUCUUUAAUUGACUUUUUGGAUUAGAAACGUGGUCAACAAGUUGGCCAUGUGCCACACAUGUUGUUAGCUUAAAGAUCAAGCUAACUAUGUGGCCCACACGUAGAAAAACUUGCCUUGUAAGUCAAGGCAUGUGUCCUACAAAGUCAACACAUAUUGGAGGUCCUAUAGAACGUCGCCACGUAGCCCCUAGUUAGAUAGUAUAUAUAGAGACAAGAGUGAAGGCUUCUUCACUCUUAUCAACUCCUUUCUUGCUUCUAGUCUAGUUUCAAGGGUCUCUAGUUUUCUUGUAUUUUGGCAAUAGCUAUUCUAGUUUCUUUCUUAAUAUACAUAUUUCUAUUUUGUCCUAUUUCUUUUUGAGAAAAGUCUCACUUACUCUUUAGCUUUCAUCGAGUUCUUGUCCUUGACAGAUUGACAAGAGUACACUUACAAUAUCAGAGCUUUGUUUUUUUUUGAGUAAGAGUGGAUUACCCCUUUCUCUUGACAAGACAUAAGCGUAUUAGAAGUUUGCGGAUUACCCACUUCUAAGCUGAUAUUGUUCUUAGUAUCUUCUUUGUUAUCAAGUCUUUCUUUUCUUUUGUCUUCAGCAAUAUCAAACAAAUUUUUCUUCUUAGUGUCAGUAUGGCAGAGCUUGUUGAAAUGAAGAGUGCAAUGGCACAAAUGCAAGAGCAAAUGAGGGAGUUAAUACUUGCGAUGCAUCAACUCAAUUCACCAACACAGGAAAGAACAAGAAUAGCAGAAAGUGGAGAUAUAGAGAUGAUCGGAGCUGCUUCAACAUCUACAACAAAUCACGUUCCUUCUCCAAUUGUACAACACCCUAUAAGCACUAGAGAACCAAGAAUUGCCUUACCCGAGAAAUUUGAUGGUACGAGAUCAAAGUUUCGAAGGUUCAUCAAUCAAGUACAAUUGGCAAUUGAACUUCAACCGCAAAGCUAUCCUACUCCAGGAUCACAAGACAGGUUUAUUGGCACUCUACUUUCUGGUUUUGCAUUAUCGUGGUUUUCGUCUUUUCUUGAACAACAAAAUCCAAUAUUGGACAAUUAGGAAGCUUUUUUGGUGGAGUUUCGAUCUAUGUAUGGUGAACACGAUGCAACUCGUGUUGCAACAAAUAAGAUCCGAUUUCUGCGACAAGAAAAUCGCUCAGUAACAGUAUAUGCUUCACAAUUUCGACAACUUGCAAUUGACAUCAAGUGGGAUGAUGCUGCACUCAUCAGUCAAUUUCUUUAUGGAUUGCAAUACGAAGUAAAGAAAUUGAUGCUCAACUUACCUGAUCCUCAAACUUUGAGUCAAGCAAUCGAUUUUGCGGUAAAAUGUGAUAAUCGACUUUUCAAAUUUCGAUCCGAGAAUCAUUCACGGGAACCUCAACGUUAUUACUCAAUGGCAACAUCAACAUCUUUGCCAAACGUACAUUCGGAAGUAGAAGACAUGCAAAUUGACGCGGUACGUUUUAAACCUCUAACUGAGCAAGAAAAGAUUCGUCGUCGUCAAGAAGGAUUAUGUUUAUAUUGCGGAGAACCUAAGCACACUGCUCAACAUUGUCCAAAGAAACGACGCUACUAUAAAAUGAGGGGUACGACGGUCAAAGAAGACAACAUGUCGGAAAACGGAUUCGUCCAGCUAUAAUAGAGACCGUGCAGCUGGAACCUUGUACAACUCCUAAUGAAGGUCCUAUCCUCUCCUCAGAACCCUCUCCUUGUUUUAUAAUAGACUUAUAUUUAGGACCUAAGAAUUACAAAGCCUCUGCUUUAUUAGAUUCGGGAGCCUCAGUAUGUUUUUUAGAUGAACAAUUUGUUAAAAGUCGUAAAAUACCCUUUGUAUAGAAACCUAAACCAGUACAUGUAGAAGUCAUAGAUGGUCGUCCCUUGUCUUCUGGAGAUGUCACUCAUGAAAUUCAUCCUAUAAAAGUAACAAUAGACGGUCAUGAUAGCUACAUAGCUUUUAACAUAAUUAAAUCCCCGUCCAAUCCAGUUAUUUUAGGUUUAUCCUGGUUAGAAAAAUAUAACCCUCGAAUAGAUUAGAAUUCGCGUAAACUUGACUUUUUUCAAAGCGUUAUUAAUAGUUCUACCAACCAAGUAAAAAAUUAUAAGUCUAGUAUAGUAAAACCCGUACUGAUAGGUGCAAAAGCAUUUAUACACACAGCAAAAGAAGGAUCAACUUUUGCUAUUUAUGCUGCACCUAUUUCUGAAAACGUAAAGACUUCAAGUGGCAUUCCAAGUCAAUAUCAGGAGUAUCAAGACGUUUUUGAGAAAAAGAAUGCAGAUAUUCUUCCUGAGCAUCGUCCAUAUGAUUGUUCAAUCGACCUCAAGGAAGGAACUCAGCCACCAUUUGGACCAAUUUACAGUUUAUCGCAAGAUGAGAUGGCUGAACUCAAGACAUAUAUUGACGAGAAUUUAGCGAAGAAUUUCAUACGCCAUUCAAAAUCUCCAGCAGGAGCUCCAAUUCUAUUCGUAAAGAAAAAAGAUGGAUCUUUACGAAUGUGUGUUGAUUAUCGAGGACUCAACAAGAUCACAAUCAAGAACAGGUAUCCAUUACCUUUGAUAUCAGGACUCCAUGACCAGUUGAAUCAAGCUAAGAUCUAUACAAAAAUAGAUCUAAGAGGAGCAUAUAAUCUAGUACGGAUCAAAGAAGGAGAUGAAUGGAAGACUGCGUUUCGAACCAGGUAUGGACAUUUCGAAUAUAAUGUCAUGCCCUUUGGACUCACGAAUGCACCAGCUGCUUUUCAACAUCUCAUGAAUGAUGUAUUUCGUGAAUUCUUAGACAAUUUUGUCGUCUCUUAUCUAGACGAUAUCCUGAUCUAUUCCAAGAACGUCAAAGAACCUGAAAUACAUGUUCGUCAAGUAUUACAAAAAGUUCGCGACGCAGGAUUGUACGCCAAGAUGGAAAAGUGUGUAUUUCACACUACUCAAGUUGACUUUUUAGGAUACAUCAUUUCAAAUGAUGGUCUCAUGAUGGAUUCUAAGAAAGUCCAAACAAUCGUGGAUUGGAAGAUUCCAAGGACGGUAAGAGAUGUCCAAUGUUUCUUGGGAUUUGCCAAUUACUAUCGGAUCUUCAUCAAAGAUUUCUCACGAGUUGCAACUCCACUUACACGCUUGACUAGUAAAGAUAAAUUUCAAUGGAAUCAAGAAGCGGAAGCAGCAUUUGAAGCCUUGAAGACAUCGUUUGUCUUUGCACCAGUCUUAUAUCGUGUUGACUUUUCUAAGGCAUUUUUUAUGGAAACAGAUGCAUCAGAUUUUGCCUUGGAUGCAGUUUUAUCACAAAUGGGAACAGAUGACAAACUCCAUCCGAUAGCUUUUCAUUCAAGAAAAUUCUCAGCAGCCGAGAUCAAUUAUGAGAUCCACGAUAAAGAACUUCUUACGAUCGUGGAUUCCUUUCAAAAAUAGCGUCAUUAUCUAGAAGGCACUUCUAGUCCAGUCACUGUGUAUACAGAUCACAAGAACCUCGAGUAUUUCAUGUCAACACGCAUGUUGAAUCAUCGUCAAGCUCGUUGGAGUAUGUCUUUGUCAAGAUUCGAGUUCAUUAUCACUUACCGGCCAGGAAAACAACAAGGUUUAUCUGAUGCCCUAUCUAGACGUUCUUAUUUUGCACCAAAAGAAGGAGAUACAGCUUUUGAGCAACAAAGAACGGUCCUCUUGAAACCGGAGCAAUUUCAUCUCCGAGCAAUGAAAUCAACAUUGACGGUUGAUUCAACUUUUCUCAAGCAAAUCCAGUCCAGUAUGUCCUCAGACCCUCUUGUUUAUGAUAUCGAGAAUAAUUCUUCCAAGUCUCAUGAUCCUUCUAAGUUUGAGUUCAAGAAUAAUCUAUUAUAUUUUGAACGACGCCUAUAUGUUCCAGAAGGAGAAGCACGUUUACGUGUUCUUCAAACACGUCAUGACUUUCCAGCAGCAGGGCACUUUGGAUAUAAUAAGACUUUGGAACUCAUAUCAAGAGAUUUUUGGUGGCCACAAAUGUGGAAGUCAGUCAAAGACUUUGUACAAUCAUGUGAUAUUUGUUCAAGAUCAAAAAUUCCUCGUCAUCGACCUUACGGACUUCUUCAGCCAUUACCUAUCCCAGAACAACCAUGGUCUUCUGUUUCUAUGGAUUUCAUCACAGAUCUUCCAAACUCAAGAUCUUAUGAUUCUAUAUUUGUGAUAGUAGAUCGUUUCACCAAGAUGGCACAUUUUGUGCCAUGUACAAAAUCUAUCACAGGUGAAGAAACAGCUAAGCUUUUCAUUGAUAAUAUCUAUCGCUAUCAUGGAUUACCUAAAGAUAUCAUAUCGGAUAGGGGAACUCAAUUUGUGUUAAGAUUUUGGAGGACCCUUUUCAAGAUUUUAAAAGUGGACAUAAAGCUAUCUUCGGCUUUCCAUCCUCAAACUGAUGGACAAACAGAGCGCGUAAACCAAGUCUUGGAGCAAUAUUUAAUGUGUACUAUCAACUACCAACAUGAUGAUUGGACAACCCUUCUGCCAUUGGCAGAGUUUGCUUAUAAUAAUACGGUACAUUCUUCCACGCAACAAACACCUUUCUUUGCCAAUUAUGGCUAUCAUCCACGACUUGAUACUUUUGAUUUUUCAAAAGUUGAUAAUCCUGCAGCAGAAGAUAUGGCAAAUCGGUUGUCAGAGUUACAUGCAAUAAUGAAGACCGAAUUGAAGGAAGCUCAAGAACGACAAAAAAUAAACGCAGAUCUAUAUCAUAAGGAGCAACCACAAAUCAACGUGGGUGAUAAGGUAUGGCUACUUCGUCGCAAUAUCAAGACUACUUGACCUUGUGACAAGUUGGACUAUCGUAGGCUUGGCCCCUUUUCUGUUUCUGAACAGAUCAACCCAAUUGCAUAUCGGUUACAUCUACCGGAGUCAAUGAAGAUCCAUCCUGUAUUCCACGUAUCUCUUCUUGAACCAUAUAAGACAGUGGAUAUACAAGGAAGAAGACAAAUGCCACCGCCUCCUAUAGAAGUAGAUAAUAAUGAAGAAUUUGAGGUGGAAGAGAUAUUAGACUCAAGGCGGCGCCGAAAUAAGCUGGAAUAUCUUGUUCAUUGGCGCGGAUAUGAUAUUAGUGAACGCACAUGGGAGCCAUCCAGGAAUCUAGCAAAUGCAUCAACUAAAGUCAAAGUUUUUCAUCAACGACAUCCAUCAAAACCAAGAUGAAAAUCUCUCUUAUAAAAGAGACAAGAUUGAGGCAAGAUAACAUUCAAUUUCCUAUCCUUGUUUGUAACUUCUUUACAUUUGUGACGCUAAUUAGAUGGAGAGCCAACAACCAGCGGAUUCAACUCAAGAACCUUCGUUUGCUGACCUGCCGGAUGAGACAUUACGAUUGUCACAACCUUCAAGACGACGCAAUCGAGAUGAAGAUCUUCAAGAACGACAUGUUCUUCCUCGAACAGAUGGUGAGAUACAACGCGUUUGGUAUCACGAUUUGGGAAGGGACUCCCGAUGUUUGGUGAUUUUGCUAGAGGUAGGAACAACUCCUGAUGGUGUUCCGAAUAUUCUAUUCGAAGAAAGUUAUGAAGGCCUCAAUAAUGAUCAAAUAACUGGGUGGUCUUCCCGCCCUGGUAUGGGACACUACCGAUGGUUGAGAGGCCCUAUCAAUCAUCUUCGAAGAGAACAGAGACUAGAGUAUGUGGCGAAUAUAAUUCGUCGCAUCAUAGAUUUCCUCAACAUAUGAUGACCGCUCCUCGUGGAACUCGUCUCUAGAAGGGGGGGUAAUGUCACGGCCAUAAUCAUGUAAGCUAAUAAUUACAUAUAGAAAUAGGUAGAAGUAAGUAAAAGUAGAUAAAAAUAAGUUAAUUGUAUAAUAUUUAAUAUAGAAGCUUCCUAGAAACUUCCUAGACGCUGCUUUGACUUCAUAGGUGUCUUUAAUUGACUUUUUGGAUUAGAAACGUGGUCAACAAGUUGGCCAUGUGCCACACAUGUUGUUAGCUUGAAGAUCAAGCUAACUAUGUGGCCCACACGUAGAAAAACUUGCCUUGUAAGUCAAGGCAUGUGUCCUACAAAGUCAACACAUAUUGGAGGUCCUAUAGAACGUCGCCACGUAGCCCCUAGUUAGAUAGUAUAUAUAGAGACAAGAGUGAAGGCUUCUUCACUCUUGUCAACUCCUUUCUUGCUUCUAGUCUAGUUUCAAGGGUCUCUAGUUUUCUUGUAUUUUGGCAAUAGCCAUUCCAGUUUCUUUCUUAAUAUACAUAUUUCUAUUUUGUCCUAUUUCUUUUUGAGAAAAGUCUCACUUACUCUGUAGCUUUCAUCGAGUUCUUGUCCUUGACAGUUGCAUGGAAUCACUUGAGCAAUAAAUUGUUCCAAAGAUUCUACCUUCGACAUUGUCAUUAAUAAAUCUUUGAUAUUAUCCUUCAACCUUUGUUGAAAUUGAUUGAUAAGGGCUUUGUCAUUCCAGUCCAUGUUAAAAAUAAGGUUUUGGAAUUCAACAGCAUAUAUAGUGGCUGACCGUGAUCCUUAUUGUAAAGAUAAGAGCUUAGUCUUUGGUACUCUUUCUCAAUCACUUUCUCCAAAUGUGGCCGUAAAUACUUCUAGGAAUGAAUUCAAAUUAUAAAAGAGGCUAGAAUCUUUUUCCAUUGAAAGUACAAAUCAUAAGAGAACACUUCUUGAUUGAAGUGUGCCUAUGAUUUCAACUUGAAUAAAUCCAUUGGAGUAUUAAAAAAGAUGGAACCUAAGAUAGAACUUGACUUGUUAUAGAAAUCCUUAAAAUUUUGAACUUCUUCCAUCAAACUUCUUCCAUCAAACUUCUUAUGCAUACUAAUCUUUAUCUCCAUCAUAUUUGUAGAAGAAAAAUUCCUUAGAUUUGGUUAUGAAGUCUAACUACUUGCUUCCUUCAAUUACACAACUUCUUGUAGCAAACUCUGAACAUCUUCCAUAGGUGUAGACAUAGUACCUCCAUGAUUCAUAUUAGAAAUACGUGAGUUUUCUAUUCUUAGAGUAUUAAUAAGCUUAUAAAGAUCUACAAUAGUUGCAAAUCUAUUCUUACUUCCACUGAGAGUAGCAUCCAUAAUCUUUUUUUUUCAUAGACAAUUCAAAUAAAUUCAAAAAGUUAAAUUAGAUGAAGGUAAUCUAUAACCUCUAAUAUCAAAUAAAACUUUCUAUAAAUAAAGAUGAUGUACUCUCUUCAAGGAAAAUAUCAGAAAAUAAGAUUUUUUGUUUAAAGGUGGAUAGUCCACAACCUUCAAAAGACAAUAAUAGAAGUGAGACAAUCCACUUACUUUUAAAACAAGAUAGAAAUAAUAAAUUAGUACUAAUUUCAAAAUGUCAUGGAGAUAAAUCUUGAAGAAAAGAAAUCCUUAAUACACUCUUGUAUGAUUCAAAGAAACUAAAAAGUUACUCAAAGAUGAUAUAAUAUUGAACUAGAAUGGCUAUUGUAAAAAAAAAAAAAGACUAAAAAAUCUUGAAAUAAGACUAAAGACUAAAGAAGUGUUGAGAAGAGUGAAGAAGGCUUCACUCUUACCUCCAUAUAUAUUCUUAAAUAGGAGUUAUGUCGCAAUGUCCUAUUGAAUCUCUAAAGCAUGUUGACUUUGCAAGACAUGCAUCUUAGCUUGCAAGACAAGUUUUUUUAUAUGUGCGCCACAUAAUUAGCUUAUUUUACAAGCUACCAAUAUGAGAUUAACUUGUUGACCAAGUUUCUAACUUUCGAAUCAACUACAGAUAUAUAUAAAGUCAAAGUAGUCUCUAUGGAGCUUCUAAGAAGCUAUUCUAAAAGGUAUUAUGAAAUUAAUCUAUUUUUAUGUACUUUUACUUACUUCUAUCUAGUCAUAUAUGUAUUUACUAGAGUAUCUAUGUAUAUCCAUGACGUAUUGUUAGAGUUGUUGAGCUUACAAAUAAAUCAUUCUUUCAAAUCUAAGUUUUUUAGAUUGACACUCAACAUAAGUCUUAAUGACUUUAGAGAUGUAAGUCGUUGAAAUUCCAAACUUGUUCCCUCUUACCAUCUAUUUCAAAUCAUAUAAUCUUAACAGAAUUUUUGCAUCUACAAGAUGAGAUCUUUCCUUGCAAUAUUCAUUCCAAACUAUUCAUAUCUAUUGAUCAAUGUAUGGAAUAAUAAAUUUUGGAUACUUCUUAUUAAAUAAUCAAACUUUAUUAUUAAACAAUUUAAAUAUCCUAAAAUUAUUUUUGAUGUAUGUCCAUUUUUUAAAAAAUAUUUAUAUAAAAAAUUUCAAUUGAAGUAUCUUUUUGAUGAACAAAAUUAAUAUCGAAUUUAAUAAUAGUCUCAAAUGUGGCAAUCAUGACAUCUCCUUUCAAGCAUUGAAUUAAAUAUUCUUGUGAUUCACUAUCAAAGACAAGAAUCUUAAAGAACCAAAAAUUCAAUUGAAUUUUUUUGUGUAAUUCAAAAAGAAUAGAUAUUUAUUCAAAACUAAUAUAAUAUUGAAACUAGAAUUGCUAUUGCAAAAGAUAAGAAGACUAGAAAGUCUUGAAAUAAGAUUAAAAACCAUAAAGAUGUUCACAAAGAUGAAGAAGGCUUCACUCUUACCUUCAUAUAUACUAUCUAACUAAAAGCUACAUAGCAAUGUUCUAUAGGACCUCUAACACGUGUGCAAAUUGCAAGACACAUGUCUAACUUAUAAGACAAGUUUCAUAUAUGUGCACCACAUAAUUAGCUUGUUUUAUAAGCUACUAAUAUAUAUGACGCAUGGCUAACUUAUUGGCAAAGUUUCUAACCUACCAAUCAAUUAUGAACACGUAAAAAAUCAAUUAAGAGUCUAUAAAGCUUCCAAAAUGCUUUACUACAAGAUAAUAUCAAAUCUACCUGUAUUUAUCUUAAUACUUCUUAUGUAAGUAAAUAAGUAUGUAUAUGAUGUUCAAAUUUAAAUUAAUAAUAUCAAUUAGAAAAAAAUACUAAAAGAUCAAAUUGUCGAUCUUGAACCACUUUUAUGUCAUAAUCAUCAUUUUUUCCUUUAAUAUCUAAAAGUUGUGAGAAGUUGAAGUCAAUUUCAUCAUCUGUAGAGAUAUCAUUGAGAUUAAGGACCUCAAAGACUUUCUAAAUGGUUUCGAUAAUACUCCUAUCUUCUAAGCUCUAAAAUAUAGUAUCUACUUCACCUAUACAAAUCAUAUAGAAAGUGGUUAAUAUUCUAUAGAAUUAUUAUUUUAAAAUAAUAUUUAAUUUAUUGGUAGCAAUCUCUACCAUUAUAUUCUCACAUUAGUCAUUGCUAAUAUUUUAAAUUGCAACUAAGUAGUGGUAGGCCCCACCAUAAAUUUGCCCAAAUAAUUACCAUUUCCUACUUAUUUCUUAUCCAUUUUUCACCGCCAAUUUCUUCUUAGUAAUAAAAAAUGGUCUUUUUCCAUAUCCAUUUGUAAUUUUUGUCCAUCCAUUUUUCACCACCAAUUUUCCCUUGGUGGUGAAAAAUGGUCACUAUUUAUGCCCAUUUUUUUAUUACUUCCAUCCCUUUCACACAAAACCAUGUCUCGGUAGAGACAAUCACUAUCCAUUUUCCCAUGCUUAAAUUUUCCUUUCCUUUUCCCAUUCCUAUGAUUGCCACGACCAUUUCCUAUGAGGGGACACUACUCCACUCAUAAUACACUCUGUAGGCUUCGGCAGGCCUCCUUGUCCUACUCCACAAAGCUACUUCUUAGACAGAUUCUGCUGUGGAAGACCACCCAUCCCUGCUAUUCCACUGCGCAGCGCUGCUGGUGCGAGGAGAGGGUGACGGACUCGUAGCCACCCUCCCCUAUAGGGGCUGGCACCCUACGCGAUCGCUGCGUUUCUUACACCAUCCCCAUCCCCCACAAUUCCCGCAUGCUACCUGUCCCCGGCGCUUUCCUCGCGCUCCCUUGCUCGCCCCGUCAUGUUCCCUUCGCGCUCUCUUCUCGUUCCCCUGUCCGCGCCGCUGGUUUUUCUCGACAUCCUCUGCCCGCCCUCUGCGUUCCCCAUGAGUUCCCAAUAGGCCCUGUAACGGCCAAGAUUGAAAUUGGAAAUCUGACGGCUCAGAUGUCUCUAGACAAUCGAUUGAAGAAAGUGGUUUCUGCUACACAUAGUGACGAGGGUAGCCGAAGGCAAACCUCUCGGGGACGCGAUGGAAAAUCGCGACUACCGCUAAUAACGGAAAAUCCGUGGCAUGCUGUGAGCAGCGUCACUUGCGCGGAUGCACCGCCGUGGAGGAGGCGCUGCCAAGAAUCAUUAUAACUCGCCCUCAACGCGGCCACUACAAGCCGCCGUCGCUGUCCCAUUCGUGUGCGUCUGGCUAUAUGCCUGUGUGUGUGUCCCUGUCCUUGUCUAUGCGCAGUCAGCGUCUAUCCUCGUCUCACUAAGAAGGCUAUUAUGUGCGUGCCUGAAGGUCCCCAUAAUUGUGGAACGUGAAUCCGAGCACACCGGUCCAAAUUCAACUCCUGCAUGUGUGGAUUGUAGGGCCCGAUUCGAUGACGACGACGUUUGGAAAUUCAAACGCGGUUUGUAAUUGAAAAUUGUGACUCCCGAGGCCGAGGUAUAAAACCAGCCAAGGGAGAUUUUUUGACCUUAAGGCUAAAUGUUUAUUAUUUUUAUUCAAAAAUAAAAUGGAUAUAUAUGUAUAUAUACACACACAAAUUGUGAAAAUAUUAUAUAUUUAUUUUUGAUAAAUUCCAACUAUUUUGAAACUUCUAAAUAUUUAAUUCUUAUAUUUAUUUCUAUGUUACAUGAAACUAUGUCAAUUAGUAAACAAUUUUUAAAUUGAGAUUUAGUUCUAAAAUACUAUUGAUUUUAAGUCAAUUAUUUUAUUUAUUUAUAUUUUAUAUUUAAUUUUCUAUUGCAAGUAAAUCAAAUAUAUAAGAAAAAUAAAAUUUCUUUGAUAUAGGAUCUAUUUUAUUAUUUUAAGACAUGUAUUCAAAAUGAUCAUGUACUGACUUGUAUUAAAUUAUAAAUUAUAAAAUAAUUUAAAUAUUAUAAUAUAAUAAUAGAAGUUAAAAUUUAAAAUUCUAUUAUUAUCUUUAUUCUAUCAUAAUAAGUUAAAAAUAUAUAUAAUUCUAUUUAAUCUUAUAUUAAUUCGUAACUAUUUUAUUUUUUAAUAACUUUUUAAUAUUAAAUCUAUUCAUUUUUAUAAAUUUUUCUUCAAUAAUAAAAUUAGAAAAUAUGAUAUAAAAUUAUUUAUACACUUUGUAAUUAGAUCAUAAUUGUAACUGAGACUUUAAAACAAUGCCUAAAGUUGUUUUUUUUUUUGUAAAAAAAAGAUUUUAAAAAGUUAAAUUAUAUUAACAUUUAAAAAUUAUAUUAAAUGUUAAAAAGAUAAAUAUAUUAUCAUUUGCAAAGAACAUCAAAUAUUAUUUUUUGUAGAGGUAUUAAAAAUAAGUUUUAAACUAUUAAAAUCAAUAAAAGUCUACAAGAAUAAUAUGAUAUAUCUUUUUAAAAUUUGAAAACUUUAUAUUUCUUGUUAAUCAACUUUAUAGUGUAUUUUGGAUAUUUUCUAUUUUCUAUUUUUACUAUUUUUAUUAUCACUUUAAAAAAAAUUGCAUCACUAAGUUAUUCUUAAUAGUUGCAUAAGUACUUGGAUCAUUUGGACUACUAAACCAUUUAACUUUUUAAAACUUAAGUUAAUAAAAUUGAUCUAAAAUUGUUCUAAUUGCUAUUAGCUUAAAUAUUUGUGUGUAAUGGAUUGUUCAAAUGUAUAGGAUUUAAUGUGCCAAGUUAUAUGACAAUAGAUUAAUUAGUGUACUUCCAAAAUAAUUCAAACAAUACAAACUCAUUGCUACUUUCAAUAUAAUUUACUUUAUCAUGAUGAACUUAAUCAACCAUCUAAAUAUUAUUGCCUACAACAUUAAAUUACUUAUACAAAACAAAUUUUAAAUUAAUUUUAAAAAUAAAUAUUCAAAACUAUAAUAUUAUAAUUUUCUUUAAGUGUUUAGGUGUCUAAGUAAUACAAUAAAGUUUUAAAUUUUCUUCCUAGAAAAACGUGAUGGUAUUAAUAUAAACUCAAACAAUUUAAAAUUGUGCCUAGAUAAGGUUCUGGCAACUCUUGUGUGUUACAUGUAUUUGUAAAAAACUUCCUCCUCACUUGCUAUUUCUGAUAUUUAUCUUAGACUUCUGCUUCUCUAGCAUUAGAAAGUCAUGUCACCCUUGCCCGCUUUCACCUCACAACCACGGCAUGAUUACUGAAACUUAUGCUGGAGUAAAUAACUUGAUGAAUAAAAAGAGAAAACAUCAUGUGAAAUACGUAUGCAGUUUCAGAAAUAAAAGAUACAGAAGUGUUACAUUAGAGAGAGACAAUUCGAGGAACUUUUCGUCGUCUUAUUUCAACGUAGCAUUCGUUCACUCAUCCAGCAAUAAUUGAUGUGGAAUUUGUAUCACAUGGUCGACGGAGUUCAGAAGAAUCCGGUGAUAUUGUAAUUCCAACCAAGCGUUGAGAGAAAGGGAUGGGUGCAGAGGCACUAGAAAGCACGAUCAUGCUAAUUUCAGAAUUAUCCUAAGAUGAUACUUGAACAUCUUGCUGUCUUUUGUUUUGCUUGAGAUCGCACAAAAUCCAACACCACAACCAUCACUUUAAUUCUAUUAGUGUUGAGUUUCCGCUCCUGCACCCAGACUGCAAGAAAGACACAUCUCUAGGAAUGCUCAAAUUGUACCACAUUUUGCGAAUAAAGUCCUCAUUCAGCCAGUCUCGAAUGGUCGGUUACAGUCAAUCAUUCUCACUACAUACAAUCAUUCCGGUUCAAAAGAGCGUGACGUGUGCAAAUGUCAGAAGUGUAAAAUCUGCCCCAAACUUGUCCACAUAUUGGACAAGUUUGCGAACUGAUGUAUGUUACUACUGCGGAUGUAAUGAGAUUUUCCCAUGCGCACACAACUGCAAGGUCGGUUGUGCAACUUCGUGUCAGAAUGCACGAGAGAAAACGUUUCCUGGCAAUUUUCAGGAAGCCAGACUUAGAGCAACUUCCAUGACAAUGUUACUUACCAUCCUCAACUUUCAGUGCAGCCAUCAGUGCGACGUGAGCUGCGUUAUCCAGCACAGGCCCUUCGAAAAAUACUAGUAGACAGGUUGAACGACACAGUGCCUUCAAUUUGUUCACAGUGAUAGAGAAGUAUGAGAUUCAAAAAGAAAUACCUUCUCGGUGAUGGUGCCGGCAGAGUGAGAUAACGGGCUUUCUGCACUUUCCGCUGGAGGUACUGGUCUCGCUGCUGUCUCUCCUUGUUUUGUCUGCUAGAAGAAGGCGAAACGUCUGCCCAAGUAUUUAUCCAAAAUCCCGAAGCAACAAUUUUUCUCGGUAGUCGUAGUCACUGGAAAUCUGAAGUCCUCUAUUUAGAAAAAGAGAAUCAAUUUAUCACUUGCUUUUUCACAGAUUAUAUGUCUUGUGUUCCUGCUAUCAUAAGACAUCAGAGCUCUGUCAAAAGCAUCUCAUUAAAGAGUGCUCUUAAACCAGAUUGGUAGACAAAGUUUCUCAAUAAGAAGGAACUUUGAUUGAUUAAAUCCAGAUACGGCUGUUUCGACUUGAAGUGAUCUCUGUGCUAAUCAAAUCCCUCCCUUUGCUGCAGGUAACUAAGCCACGUAGAGCAUCAAACUCGAGAUGCUUAGAAUACGCACCGAGUUGUGGAGCGUUGUCGAUAUAGUGAUGCUGAGGCAGGUUCAAGUAAUCAAACGGCUUGAAGUUUGGAAAAUUCCGAUUUUCGAUCUGAUAUUCCCCUCCAUUGUCGACAGAACGAACUAAUCUUUUAAUUUUCGACGUAGAGAAGUUUGGCUACAAAGUUUUCAAAGGAAAGUGGACAAAACAAUAGUUGAUUCGGAUUUCUGCUGUCAAUACAACUUCAUUUGAAUGCGACUCAAGACUUGCACUUUAAAAAGGAACCUCUGUAGAGAUUCCAGGAUCUGAAAAGAGAAAACCAGCAGGUUUUACUCUCAGCAGUCAUUAAUCUUUUCAAUCAUAUAAGUCUAUCGCCUCUAUACAUGUAGCACUUCUCAAUCUCUCUUUCACAUAGUAUACUCAUAUAACAUACCUCUCCGAUUACCUUAAACAUUUGGACACUCCUUAAGGAAUACAUAAACCCUCUUAACCCUGAUGAACUGUAAUUGCACAAGCAACGCGAUUGGAUUAAACAAAUGAAUUAGGACUGAACUAGUCAGCAGUGAUGACCUUGCCAAUCUCCUUGAAUCCGUUGAAGAUUCAGUGGGCCCGCAAAAGCACGGAUAGCGUAACCACAGUUGCAGACAACAGGAUAAAUGACAAGCUGGAAAAGUCUAUUCCUUGAAGAAAACAUGUCAUCUCUCCAGCUUCUCACAAGGCAGUGUGAUGCAUCAAAUGUUGUAAAGUAGAUCAGUCUAUAGAUUUGCUGUUAGUGGAUUCCCAAUUCCCUAAACUGGUUAACCGCUGCUCUACCGUAUUGUGAAGGCCCUGAUUGGUGAUCUACGAACUGAUCCACUCAAACUUGCAGGGUUCUUUGAUAGUACAUUAUGUGUACACGUCAUCCCCUGGUUAAAAGUCUACGGAAUUUUAAAAAGGUCAUGAGAUCCAGCAAAUUGAUGAUUGUGUGCACGCACAUAAUAAUGAAGAACUACCGACAGAGCAAUUGACAUGGUUUACUUCACAAUUCAGUGACGAAAUGUUCACUCAUUUACUUGAGACACACAAUUAUUUGCUGGGGACUGAGUGGUGAGUUGAGAGGGAAGUAAAUGUGGUGUGAUUUUUUGAUGCUCAUUUAUUAAUCCCUUCAGAAUCAAAGUAACUUGUUUUUAUUUUUAUUUCUUUGACACCCGUGUUGGAUGGCCGAACAACCAUGAUUUAAGGCUUGAAAUGGUCGAUAUCUCGCUAAAACAAAAUUGUUCUGCAGAGUAAAUACUACGUCUGGCCACGUAACAAAUGCUGCUUCAAAAUUUCUUGAGCUCUUGCAGAUGCAGAUGGCACUGAAGCACUGCUGACAAAAACCAGCAACCUGAAAUCUGAAAGCUGCCAGGAACUUACUCUUGAUUUGCAUUAGGUACAUCUCCUAACUCCGAUAUUGCUCCGAGUAACGCCGUGCCAUAUUCAUGAAGAAAUUGCAAAUCACGACAGAUAUAUAAAUAAGCUUCGCCGGCGGGAAGAUUAUGCAGAUCUGACCAGAAUAGCGAUGAGAUGAUCAGUCUUCAAAAGAGCAUCAUCAUUUACAUAGUGUUCAUAUUUGCAUGCGUAACACGGGUGACUGAGGAUCAAUAGUUAAGCGCUCCAGAGUUCGAGAGACCGUCUCCAUAGAAGCGACUGCCAGUCGCAUCAGCUCCAGCAAUAGAACCCAGUUUGCCAUAUAUACCCUGUGCGAUGCAUACAACACCAAUCUGCCGAGAAUUGCCGAGCUGUAGGGCACUAUUUUAAUUUCCAACACUUAUUAACGUCCAAUACGCUGUUAACGAUGAUUCAAUGAACUGUCAACAACCUUUCUACACGGAAAACAGCAGGGACGGAAGUCUCACAACUUUCUGAUACAACAUCAUCGAUAAUGCAUCUGCUACUAAAAUUCUAAUGUACCAGCUCUUUGCCUGACCACAAACCUCUGCAAGUAAAAUUGUACAAGUCGAUUCUCGUACGACGCAUUACAAGAGUAAUGCUGGGGUUGAUGAGCACAACCAGUCACACCAACACGAAAAGACGGAGUACCAAGAAGGUCUGAAAUUUGUCGACUGGCCAUUACAAGUUUGAGAAAGCACUGGUUUGUGGAGCGGGACGCCGCAAAUGCAAGUGGCUGAACAUCUACGGCCAGUAUAACCUUCCUUUGACUCAUUGAGUUUAUUUCGUGGCAGCCGGCCCACAACAUCGACAGCUGACCUUUCGAUCUAGGUUGCUGUGCACAACAGACGGUCGAUGCUGGUCCUCUGCAAACCAGCAUGAGCCUCGUGGAUUGUGAGGGCAGUAAGCCAUAUCUUAUUAUUUGAGGAAGAGCAAGAUCAUGACUUCCUGAAUUAACUUCAUAGGAUACUCACGUGUUCAGCGUGCAGCCCCAUAUGCUUCGCACGUGUUGCUAGUGGUGGUAGGAGUAGUAGACAAACCUCGUGUUGACCCAAGCUUUUACGCACCCGUGGUCCGUGUGCCCGGACCCUCAAAUAUUGUGCUUGACGGGCUUCUAAGUAGAUUCAAGCAUCGGAGGUGGCUCCGUGAUGGGGUCCGUUGUUUUGGGAGCAGUGCAGCCCUCUGGAUGUGUUCAUAUCCGGGUCGGCGGUAGCAGUGUGAGGAUUGCAGAAGUUAGAUCUGUUGGGUGGUGUACUCAGGAAGUCGGGGAGUGGAAUUGGUAGAGUGAUACGUUAGCUUUUAGGUUUAAAUUAGGGUUUGUUAUGGCCACUUAUUUGGAGAUUCGUGAGGAGAGGACACAGUAAUAGAAAAAUAAGACAUUUUACAGAUAUUAUUAUUAUUAUUAUUAUUAUUAUUUUAUUGUACAUGGAAUUUUUUUUACACAGAAGUAAUAUUUUGGAGAAUGGAAAUUAUAAUUUAGUAUUAAAUACAAUGGAAGAACAAGAUUUUAUAGAGGCAUUGGAAGUGCACAAACAACCUCAACAAUUACAUGUAAUUUACGUCACAUCUUGUGACAAAUUCCUAUUAUGUCUUUCUUGCAGCAACACUAGUUUUAUUGGAUUAGAGUCAAUCUUACAUAUUUGGAGUGGAUAAUAGAGUAGUCUAAUUAAAAAUAGAGGUCUUAAUAAGGCAUGUUGAGAUUGUGUAUUUUAUCAAAAAAAUGCUAGUAAAAGAUUUGUAUGUUGUAUUAGUAGUCAAUCUCAAAAAUAUAGUAUAUGAAAAAAAAUUGAAAUAAAAUAAAUAUAGGAAAAAAAUACUUCUAUUUACAAGCAAACUUAAAAGAAUGUUGGUGAAAAUUUUGACUAUAGUCAAUAUGUAGAACAUCUUUUCAAAUUUGUAUCUUUUGAAUAUAAGAUCUCAACUUCAAUUUGAAAGUUAUACAAAAUCUAAAUUCAAUAGAAGGAUUUGGUGCUAUUAAAUUAUCUACAUGAAUAUUACUUAAUAAUAUUUUUGUUAAGUUCCAAAAUAUUAUAUCUUAGCUAUCAACCAAAUCAAGAGAGAUUUUUUGAGUGGAUGAAAAAACCAAAAAAAUCUCAAAUUAAGAUUUAAGAUUUAAUGUACUAUAUGAUUUUUUUUUAUUUUUUUUUAUUUUUUUUUGCAAUUUAUAAAAUUCAACAAAAUAAAUAUGUAAUAAUUCAACUUUUAUACUAAUUUGUUAUUUCAAAUAAUUUUCAUGUUAUAUAUAUAUAUAUAAAAAUAUGCAUCUUGCAUCCACAACAUCCUGUAAUAUAAUGAAUAUUUACAUAUUAUUAUUUUGCAAAAGAACUUGUCACAUCAAUUAAAUAUUUUUUUUACAAUUAUAACUUAUAAACACCACCCUUCAUUACAAUAUAUAUACCAUGAUUUUAUAUGGUUCAAUAGGUUUUACAUCAUCCUUCAUGAGUAAGAUUGGCAAAUGGCUCAAUGCUUUGAUUCUAUCUCCUAAUUCCAUAAAAAUCUUCUCUAGAAACUCUUCAAUCCAUGUGCAUAGUAAAUCAUGAAUGUUGCUAUUCCAUACUCAUCAAUUUUGAUGAAUGAUUUAUCUUUGAGUCUUAAAAGAAUGUAAAUAGAAUUUUUAAUCUCAUGUUUAUAAAAGUAAAUGACCAGAUAUACAAAUAUAAUGUAUAUAUGUAUAUAUUUGUAAUAUCUAUAAGUCAUACUUGUUACUUAAUUCAUUAUUAUAAAUUUAAUUUAUUUCUAUUAAAUUUUAAUAUAAAUAUACUUUUAAACUAUAUUUUGGUUUGUACUUUAAUUUUUAUAAUAUUCUUGUACAAAAUAAUUUAUGAAAGAUAAUAUAUAUAAUAUUUGAUGUUCCUAUGAAUUUAGGUGUCAAGAAGUAAGUAGAUUUUUUUUCUAACACAAAGACCAUAUUUAGACUUAUUGACUUAUUUGAUAAGUAAUACUUAAAAAUUUAAUAAUUUUUUUAUAAAUAAUUGAUUUAUCAAAGUUUGCCAUUGCAAUUAAGUUUUAUAAUUAUUUAUAAAAAAAUUAAUAAAUUAAUAAAUUUAACCUAUGUCUAAUAUUGAUAACUAUUAAAAACCAUGUAAUUCUAAUUACAUCAAAAAUUUUAAAAUUCUUAAAAAUAAUCUUCAAAUUUAAUUAUUAAAUAAUUAAUUUGAUAAAAUAUAUACUGAAAAUAAAUAAAGCUUCAAACUUAAAGAUAUGAAAUCUAGACUCUUGCAUACUUUAAAUCAUAAAAUCUUUAAGUGUAUUAUAGCAAGAAACAUGGCAUAAUUCUUUAGAAAAUAAGUGAAAUAUUUAACAAAUUAAUUCUUAAGUGAUAAAAUAUUGACUAAGCCAUUUUGUAUUCUCACCACUAAGUUAAAAUCACUUUAGUUUCAAUAUAUAUAAGAUUUUAAUAUACUACAUGUAUUGUUUAUAAUUUUCAUCUUAAAAUAUUAUAUUAAUGAUAAUGAUUCAAAUUUAAAAAUUAAUUAAAAUCUCAAAUCAAAAUUUUCUAAAAAUUCUAUAGUAUAAAAAUAUAUUACAACAUAUAUUGUACUAAUAUAUUUUUAAAUCAUAAAUAAAACAAUAAAAAAAUGCUUGUAUCAAAAGAUACCAAAGACAGAGUUAUAUUCAAGUAUUGACUACUCUACUUAAAGCUUGUCAAAGAUGUCAAUGCAUAAAAGCUAUUACCUUCAAUCUUCAUCUUUUCACAACUUUUAAAUGAUAUCCUUUGUAAAGAUGAAAGAUGCUUUAAUUUUAUUAGCAUAUCUUUUAAAUUUUCAUAUUCUUAAAAUGAUAUUAUCUUCAAAUUUGUCAUAUGAUCAAAUGUAGCAUAAAACUUCUUCAAACUAGUACAAUCAUUAAAAAAUAAUUACAUAAGAGAUACAAGAUUGAUAAAUCUAUUGUCAAAUGUUUCUAAUUUAAUAUAAUUAUUCAAAUCCAACAUUUUCAAAGAUAUAAAUGUAUUAAAGCUAUUACCUUCAAUCUUUAUUUUUUUAUAAUUAUUCAAUGAUAUUGCUUGAAAAGAUGAGAAUUGUUUCAAUCCUAUAAGAGUGUCUUCUAAGUUCUCACAUCCUUCUAACCUUAAUUGUUAAAGACAAGAACUUGAUAAAAAUAAAUAAAUAAGUGAGACUUUUCUCAAAGAAAGAUGAAAAAAUAGAAAUAACUAAAUAUGUAUAUUAAAAAAGAAACUGGGAUGGCUAUUGCCAAAAGAUAAGAAAACUAAAAACCUUUGAAACUAGAUUAGAAGCAAGAAAGAAAUUGACUAGAGUGAAGAAGGCUUCACUCUUGCCUUUAUAUAUACUAUCUACCUAAGAACUAUGUGGCGACGUUUUGUAGGACCUCCAUAAACGUGUUGACUUUGCACAAUAUGUAUCUUAACUUGCAAGGCAAGUUUUUAUGUGGGUGCCACAUAGUUAGCUUGUUCUGCAAGCUACCAAUAUGUGUGGCACGUGGUUAACUUAUUGACCAAGUUUCUAAUCUAUCAAUCAAGUAUAAACACAUGUAAAGUCAAAGUAGCAUCUAUGAAGCUUUUAGGAAGCUUCUCUAAAAGUUAUUAUGAAAUUAAUCUAUUUUUACCUACUUCUACCUAUUCAUAUCAUUUAGAUAACAAUUACAAUAAAUAUAUGUCCAUGACAUUAUCCCCCCUUCUAGGGACGAGUUCCACAAGGAGCAGUGAUCAUAUAUCAAGGAAGUCUAAGAUGCAACAAAUUGUACUUGCUACAUACUCCGAUCUUUGUUCUCUUUGAAGAUGAUUGAUAGGGCCCCUAGACCAUCAAUAGUGUCCCAUACUAAGGCGGUGUCAUGAAUUUAAAAUAUUGACUAGAAAUCUAAACAAAAAGUUCAAGAAGAAUCAACAAGAACUAGAUUAAUCAAAUGAAUACAAGAACAACACUAGAAAGGUGAGCUAGAGCUCCAAGAGGUGUGUUGUUGACACUGAGGAUCUCCUCAAUCUCGGUUUGUAUAUAUAUUACAAGCUAGGAAGCUUUUCAAGUAGCUUCUACAAACUAAGAAGCUUCUCAAGCAGCUUCUAUGAAUUAAGAAGCUUCUCAAGUAGCUUUCACAAGCUAGAAAGCUUCUAAAGCAGCUUCCACAAGCUUGAAAACUUUUCAAGUAGCUUCUACAAACUACAAAGCUUCUCUAGAACCUUGUACAACUUUCUAAUAUAUGUUUUUGACAUCAGCCCUCUUUUUAGCUUUGAGGUCUCUGAGAAGCACUCCUAUUGCGAGUCGAUACCAAUGUAAGAAGUUGAAAAUUUAUCGCAUAGUGUCUGUAAUAUAUUCCAAUUAUUGUUUGCGUGGCAAGUAGUUCAUUGGUCUUUGUAACCAACGACAGUGUCCUAUGCCUUCGAUUUCCGACCAAGCAUGAACUUCCAUGUCUUCAUUGUGAAAAUGCCCUACAAACACUCCUUCGAGAAGAUCGCCAUAGGCAAGUUCUACCUCAAAUACAAUCAUUAGAGACUUAUUACUAGAUAUCCUCCAUUGUCUUUGUGGUAUAUGUGGUUUUUCUAUCUCGGGGUCAUCUUUGUGAGAUACUCGGUUGAGAGGACAUGAUUGGUAUGGUAUCUAUCUCUUGGCUAUCUAUAUCAGACCAAAAAAUAAGCACUAAACAUGGAAGAAUGGGCUUAGGUUACAGAUUUAUAGUCUCUAAUUAUGUCUUUUAGAUGUUCCUUCUUCUUCUUCUUUGUAAGGCCAAAGAUUAAGAGACUUCAAGGAAAAGGGACUUCACUAAAAAACUUUCAUCAAAAGGGCUUUGGUUUCUGAGGAUAGCAUCGAUGAAACUCCUAUACCUUUUGCGACACAUUAAUAAGAUUUUUCGCUGGUUUCUAUGUAUAUUCAUUCAUAUCAUAGCCACUCCAAUGCACUAGGUACUCCUAUUUCCUCCACUUAUGCCACGAAUGUAAUACCUUUUCCACCUCGUAUUCCUUGUGGUUCUCAAUUUCAAUACUAGGUGGUGGACAUUGCACUCUUCCAGGAAAAGACAACUCUUGAUAAAGCUCCAACAAAGAAACAUGAAAGACUGGAUGUACCUUCAUAGUAGCCACUAAUCCUAAACGGUACGCCACUGGAUUGAUUUGCUUUUGGAUGACAAAUGGUCCCAAUCUUCGAUAGUCCAACUUAUCACAUGAUCGCUUGGUUUUGAUAUUCCAUCGAAGUAGCCAUACUUUAUCUCCAAUUUUAAAAGUAGGUACCUGAUUUUGAAAUUUAUUUGUGAAUGCCUUGUAAGCUUCUUAGGCAGUUUGCAAUUAAAGCUUCAAUGUAGUUUAAAGCUCCGAAUAUUGUUUUGCAAAUCUUUUAGCUGCCAAGUUGUUAUUGGUUAAUAGACUCAACAAAUCAAGCUUUGGAUGAUACCUGUAGUUGAAAAAGAAUGGUAUUUGUUGAAUCAAUGCAUGAAGGGUGUUGUUAUAUGUAAACUCGGCUAACAAUAGAUAUGAAGUCUAAUCAUCUUGCUGAUAGUUGAUGCUGCAUCAUAAAUAUUGCUCAAAAGUUUGAUUCACUUGUUCUGUUUGGCCCUCAGUUUAAAGAUGACAAGUAGAAGAAAGCUUGAUAUCUACCUUCAAUAUUUCGAAGAGAGAUCUCCAAAACUUUGAUACAAAUUGGGGUCCUCGAUCCAACACGAUAUCAUCUGAUAAACCAUGAUAUCGAUAUACACUAUCAAGGAAGAGCCUUGCUGUGUCUUUACUUGACGAUGUUUUCUUGCAAGGGACAAAGUGCACCAUCUUUGUAAGUCGAUCUAUCACAACAAAGAUGCUGUCAAAUGAAUUCAAUGGCAGCAGGUCUAUAAUAAAGUCCAUAGAAACUGAAGACCAUAGUCGACAUAGAAUAGGCAAUGGCUAAAGAAGACCAUAACGAUGAAGUCGAGGGUUCUUAGAUCUUGAACAAAUGUCACAAGAGAGGACAAAAUCCUUGACAUCCUUCCACAUUUGGGGCCACCAAAAAUCUCAAGAAAUAAGUUUGAAGGUCUUAUUGAAUCCAAAAUAUUCCACAGCUGGAAAGUUGUGUCGAGAUUGGAGAACUCAAAGUCGUGUUGGUCCCUUUGGAAUAUACAACUCCUCAUCAAAGUAUAAAAGAUUUCUUUCUACCUUGAACUUGUUAUUAUUGACACAUUACAUGAUAUUGAGGGCUACAAAAUCUCCAAUUGUCACAAUACGUAUUUGGUUGAGGAAGUCAGCAUCAAUUGACACUAUAGUAGAGUAAAACCUAAAUUAUUUCGACUUCAAUAAUGUUGUACAUUGAUGUUCAAACGCUGCUUCUUCAGCCUUUGGUACUAGAUACGAUGUCCUUGAUAAUGCAUCAGAUAAUCUUUGUUACUUCCUAAGUUGAUAAGUAAUAACAAAGUCAAACUAGGAUAGGAACAUAUUCCAUUAAGCUUGACAAUAAUUUAGAACCCGAGCGAAGAUGAAGUAGUCCAAAUUCUUGUGAUCCAUUGUUGUAAUAUGUGAAGUCUUGCUUGAGAAUACUCCGGGCACAUGACUGUGGAAGAUAGAAUGAAAAUUAUAACAAAAAAAUCCUAACUAUAAUAGAAUACUAAUUAAACUCUAAUUAGAACAUAAUAAUGCUAAGCAAGCUUCAAAAAAAAACUCAAAGAAAUUUCAAACAAACAAUAAGAAUUCUUAAAGAAAUAUUAAAAUGAUCACAAAUAUCACUCAAAUACAUCUCAAUUCAAUCUUAAUUUAAUUCUAAUUAAAAUCCUAUUGAACUUCAUUCAAACUUUAGGCCAAAGCUAAUUAAAUCUUAAACCCUAAUAAAAUCCUAAACCCUAAACCAAAUCCUAAACAAACCUUAAAUCAAACUCCAACCAAAUCCUAAACCAAAUCCUAAACCUUAAAUCAAAUCCUAACUAAAUCCUAAACCUUGAACCAAAUCUUAAUCAAACCCUAAACCAAAUCCUAAAUCCUAAAUCAAACACUAACUAAACCCUAAUCAAAUCUUAAUCCAAAUCCUAAAUCCUAAAUCAAAUCCUAAACCAAACUCUGAACUCUAAACCAAAUCCUAAUCCAACCCCUAAAUCCUAAACCAAAUCCUAAACCAAAUCCUAAAUCCUAACCCAAAUCCUAACCAAAUCCUAAACCCUAAAUCAAAUCCUAACCAAAUCCUAAACCAAUCCUAAAACCUAAAUCAAAUCCUAAUCAAAUCUUAAAUCAAAUCCUAAACCCUAAAUCAAACCCUAAACCAAACCCUAA
This 73480-nucleotide long non-coding RNA is filed under the name Physcomitrium patens. RNAcentral describes it as "long non-coding RNA (PPAT_LNC001303)". Lineage: Eukaryota; Viridiplantae; Streptophyta; Bryopsida; Funariales; Funariaceae. The record is from RNAcentral.